CACUAUCGGUAUUUUUGUUGGCAUCUAAUGAAGUCAACAGUUUAGAGAAUUGACCAUACACUGACUCUUUAUUAUGAUAAAAGAUAUUUCUGUUCAGGAAGAGUAAGGGAAGAAAAAUACCGAAAAGCUGUUCUUUCACUCCUUGCAGAUAUGCUACCGAAAUCUGCAGCUAAAUGAGAUUAGUAGAAUGAGCGUUCGAGUCUUUAGAACUCAGAAGUAAUAUCUAGCAAUCUUAGAUGUUAGGAAGUAGGAACACUUUCCUUCAAGAAGCAAACCUAGUUUUAGUCAAUAAACCUUCAACACUUGAGUAAGAUAUGGUUAGUAGAUUUGGCAUCACUUUUCGGAAUUUAACAGUUUGGACAAUUCAAUUGUCAAGUGAUCAAGUGUAAGUUGACGAUGCCUUGAAUCACCAGGAAAAUGCAAUAGUUUGAAUAAAAAAUAACGCUUCCAUACCAGACUGUUGAGUCUCAAACCACUACUGAAUAUUUUGAUUAGACUAUUAAAUAGUGUGCAUAGGCUAGAAAAGUUAGUUUUACACCUUUAGCCAUAUAUAUUGAUACUGAGAGCGCAAAAGCCUUAGUCUAUUGUGCAUGAGUAUCCCUGAGAAGCUCGAAUCUACUUGCAAUGGAAAGCAACUUCUUGGUGACUUUGAUCAAAGUCUGAAGUACAUGGUGCGGGGGCGUGCUGGUCAUAUACCAGCAUGGUACUUGCUGCAGUAUAGCUCUGUAUUGACUCAAGGUUUGUUGAUAGGCAUCAUGUCACAGUAGGUACUGAUGCACAUAUUAGUAUGCCAUGGUAUGUUCUUGUAGUCAGUUCUUUAGACCUUGCUUUCUGUUACAUGUCAUAUUGGAUUGACAAGAGGAACACGGUCUUGAUCCUUGAUCUAGUGAGACGACAAUGGAUGGCCCAAUACUAAAACAGAAGGCAAGAUUAUUGAAUAUCCAAAAAUCCAAACAAGUGAUUUAGAUUCUUGUACUAGGUCCUAAGAAAAUUUUUGCUCUUCUCUUAAUUAUUUUGGAGACUAGUCAUCGGAAAGGAGCUAAAUUAUGAAACAAAAGUUCCAGACAGAUGGAGUGUGUGAAGAAUUUUCUGAAAAUACAAGGAGACUGUUGGCAAAAUAAGAUGACUAGCUGGAGGAGUCUUAUUGGUAGAAAAGAACUAAUGAGACCACUGUAGAGAUUACCAAAGAAAAAGUGAAAUUUUCAAUAAGAACCGGCAAAAGAUAUGGACUUAUGAGUUACCUAGGUAUAGGCCUUCACCACUCAUACAGGAACAUGCUGGGAAACCAUAGAUGAAUGGAGACAAAUGAGAGCCAAGAUAUUUAUUCAUAUAGUUGAACAACACUUCACGAAAACCCAUGAAUCUCAAUACAUGCCAAGGCAAUCUUUUUUUUUCAUAGACUCAGGCUUUACAAAGAUCAAAUAUUCUUUAACAAAACAUAUUCAUAAUUAUGGUCUGUUGUGCUAGUACUGGUUGUCUGGCGGCACAGGUCGGUAUAGGCCCGCGCCGUGCCAUGCCGGGCCUGUAUCGACACAGUAGAGGAGGCGGGGGAGAGGGUGAACAAGAGUGAGGAAAAGAGAGAGAAGGGGGAGAGAGGGAGGGAGGCCGGUGGAGGCUGGCUCCUAGGUAUUAGGUAGAGGCUGCAACCAUUCUCCUAUUUUGUUCAAAAUAGAGUUCCGACCGCUAAAAUCUUCACGAUUUUGAAGCGAAGUUUGAGUUAUAACAGCCGGACCUUUGUUUCGAACAAAAUAGAGAAACAACUAUGGCCUCCGCCUGCUGCCUUCCGCCGGCCUUUCGCCGGCCUUCCUCCCUCUGCCUCCCCCCUCCCCCCCGCUCGCGCUUUUUUACUUCUCCAUUUCGCCCUCCGAUAAUAGGGUCAUUUUCGUUGCCGGAACCGUCCCAGUCCGCCGCCGGGACGGCUCGGUACGAUCGAAACCGCCUGAUUUGGGAUGGUUCCUCCGACCCUACUCAUAAUUCAAUGUCCUAACUAGCUAAUAAGCAUAUGAAAUAUAGUCUAUGAUGGAUUUAUCCUCAUAAACUUAGCAUAAUUAGGAUAAAAUAACUUAUGUAGAAUAGUCUAGAGCCUUACAGCCAAAAGCCAUUUAGAAGGUUUUGUACAUAUAAUUGUGAAAAAACAGUAGGUCUACAAUUACAAAGAUGAGAGCCUUCUUAGACUCUGGAAGCAACUUGAUUAGUGUGGUUACACUCUUUUAAGUAACUUGUCUUUUGAGAAAAAUACUUAAUUGCUGGAAACAUCCUUUUCUGAUGGCAAGGAUUAGUUUUACAAGUGUUUUGCUCUUGCAUUCUAAUAGCCUACAUGAUACCCUGGAAUCUUGAUGAUACGGAGAAAGUACAUUAUCAAACAUGUAAUUUAAGUAUUCUAUUUUUUAAAUUAUAUAAAUCUUUGGAUACUUAUUGAGUAUGCUUUUUAUAUUGCCGAAAUAUAUAUAAAAGUGAGAGUGAGGCGUUCUCUCCCCUCUUUUUUUCUAAUGUUGAUAUAUUAAUUAGUAUGAUUAAUUUUACCUUGUCAUUUUGAUAUUGUUGUGUAGUUUAUGGAUCUGAAUGAUGACCAAAUGGUGAAGUUUGUGAAUGUUGAUACUAUAUUGAGAUGAUUAGUUUUUCUUAAUGGAUGUUUUUCACUAUUAUCGCGCAUUUGCAUGUGCUUGCAAUAGAAAAAAAAUAAUGAUGUCUUUGACAUUGUAUCUGAAAAGCAAUACUAGCUAAAAACAUAACAAAAAUGCAAUAAUUAGAAACUUUAGAAAACUAAAAAUUUAAUAAUAUAUAAAAGUCAAAUUCCAUGAAAAAUGAUAAAAUUGAUAACUGACAUUAAGUCAAACUCCAGUUUUUAUAUGCUCCAAAAAUGGUAGAAGUAUAAAAUGUAAUGUUUUUGGGUAAAAGAAUCAAUAUUUACUGUAGAAAUCUAAUUUAAUACCCUUCGAAAAUAUGCUAAUGAUCCUUCUCAAAAAGAAGAAAAAACCAACGAAAUGCAGCAUUUAUACAAGUCAUAGUGGAUAGGGCUGUGGAUAAAACAUAUUUAUAUAACUACAUGGAAAAGAAAAAAUUCAGCUAGACUAUGAGCAAGUAAAUGUCUUUCUCAUUACCAUUGUGAGUUCUCAUUUAUUGGUAAGCUCAACUACUUAGCAAUAAAAAAAAUUGUUUAAAAUAAGCAGUGGUGACUAAGUAAUUUCUUAAUUUAGAUCCCCUGGUAUCUUUGACACUCUUAUGGCUAUGAAGUGCUCUUAUGGUUUAUAGCCCAACUCAACUUGCAUUGGUCGAAAUGUACCCUUUUUUGGUAUUUAAUGAACCACAGUUGCUACCUUGUUACUAAAUACUUAAAUGCAUAGAACCGAAAAAUCAAUCCAUGUUGGGAUUAAAGAAAAAUAAUGUUCAUGUAAAUUCGUGACCGUGUAACAAAAGGUGCACCCUUUGCCUUAUGACAUGCAAAAUAGGAGAAAGAUGAGCAAAGAAAGGGGAAGAAAAUAACACAGGUAAUAAAAAUCAAAGAACUAAUGAAUAGACAACGAAGUAGAAAGAUGCAUAGAAUUAGAGUUGGUGAGUCUCUAGAGGAAUUAGAAUUGGAGUGUAUCACUUAAUAUACAUAUAAUUUUCUAUAUUUUAUUAAGUAUCAAGCUUAGAAAUUCUGGAGUAAGCUUGGACUUGGCCCAGAAUAUAACUGUGCCCUAAAAUCUGGAUUUAGACUAGCUUAAGGGGCUGGAACUGCUUAUGCCUACCCAACUAUCAUAUUGGGCCGGUUGGGCAGCCCACCGAGUUCUAGUCAGUGGCUACUAAGAAUGCUGUUAGUAAUGACUUUUUUGAAUACCUGGAGCGCCUGGGUGCUGAUUUGAAGUGGUAAUGAGGGUGUUUUUUGUAGGGAGGGCAUGAACUACACAUCAUUUGAAAUUAUGUAGUUUUGAGUUCUUGUUUCAAGGUAAAUGACUCAAAAAUGCUCAAAUUUAUUUCUUAACUUAGUGAUGCCAAAUUCGACUUCAGCGUGGAGGCUUCUAAGUCAAGUUCCUUGUGGGAGAGUAUGACAUUUCAUGCUAGCUUACUUAAAAAGAGGGCUACCUGAGUAAUAUUUCAUUGAUAACUAUUGUAAACUAUAUCAUGAUGGUAUCUCUUUUGGAAAGAUAAUAACAACAAAGAAAGCUCACAUUUCAUGAAAGUGUGAAGGAAACCUUGGGUUGAAUCUUUGGUCUGUUUUGGCUCUCAAGAGUUGCUUAGGUCAGUGAACAAUCCCAGGAACAGAAAACACUUUUUAAUCCCAAUGCAAGAGUCGUGUAUUCCUAGUGCAAUGAAUGGCUCUUCGCUGUUUCCCGCUGAGAGAUCAGGAUAGAAAAAGGAAUGCUUUAAAUACGUUGAAUGGAAUUGUUCCCCUCUCUUCAUUGUUUAAAAUCAGAUAGGGUUGAGUCGGGUCAGCCAAUUAUGGGCGCCUAACCAUGACCCAAUUUCAACAUCUCCAAAUCAACAUGAUAGACGUGACAUUGCUCAAUCAAAUUAUAAGAAUCCUCAAUAUUUGUAUCUCUAGAAUACGUUCAUACCGACAAAUGGGUCGUGCUACCUGCGAGCACACCUAUAGUUGGAAGUUUAAUAUUUGGGAGCUCUAUAUAUGCACCUAUUAGGGAUGAGAUAGCAACUACCAUCCAAAAGAAAAGUAUCUUACUAUUCCCUAGAUCCAUUUUGUUACAUCCUUCUAAGUAUCUCUGAUCCCUCUAAAAAGAGCUAUAUUUUGACUUCUUUUGCCCCAUAUGUAUCCAGCAUUAUGUCCAAGCCACAACAAACGUAACAUAACUGGUUGACCAGUGAAUGCACACAAUGGAUGUAAAACAAAAUGAUGUUUUUUUGGCCCUUGUGCCACUUAGAUUUAGAUCAUCUUCUUUCCUAAACAUGUCCCAUAGAACCAAAUGACCUGCCAUUGUAGUAACAUGCUAAACUUGCGACCACUAAUCUGCCUUUUCACAAUACAUUCAAAGGUCACAUAUGGCAUAGAAUGAGGCUAGAUCUACCUCAAGGGUCUCAUAUAGUGAGGAAGCAAGGAUCCAUUCACUCACUUCCCUUUGUUGGUCACCCGAGCACAUGUGGCAUGAAUCACAUGCUCCAGUAUUAUCUCUCCUACAACAAGCGCAUUUCAUGCUAUAGUGUCCCAUAUAGAUCUUGAUUCAAUUGCUACCUAGCACCUAACCCAAGUCCUCAAUGUUUUCACCAUCUUUAAGACCAACUAAGUUCUUGCGUCCAGGUUUAUACAGGUUAUAUGGAUUGUAGGGCAUCUAUAUCGGCCUUUGUAUCAUCAUCAUCAGGGCCUCAUCUUGAUCAAACUAUCAAGGCAACUUUUUAUUUAAGAUAUGCAACCUCCCAGAAUGCAUUUGCUUAAAUUGUCUCAUCUAUGUGUGCUCCUUGGGUGCCAGAGGUGAUCGCCCAUGUGAGAGGGCCAAUCUUAACUUGUUUGACGUAGCUUCUAUUUUUUGUAUAUAUAUGUGUAUUGGUUCUCUCAUGCAUUUUUUCAUUCACAUAUAUUAUCAAUAAAUUAAUGUUGAAACAUUUUUAAAAAUAUAUAAAAUAAACAUCAUUAGUUAAUUGAUAAUGACAUGAAUACAAUGUAUAAUUAUUACAAUGGUCCAAAAUUGAAAUAGACAUACAUCAUAGUCUACAAAGCCUACUGAUCUUACAUGUGACUGGUGCACAUCUAUAGGGAUAGGUACAGUGAGGAGAUCUGCAACAAUCCAAUACAUAGAAAUAUGUUGUAGGAUCACUUCUUUCUGUGCUACAAUAUCUCUUAUGGAGCUAUACUUGGUAUUUAAUUUGUUUGGUCUUGCAAUAAUACUUUGGAUCCUUCGUGUAGGCAACAACUGCCUGACUAUCACAAUAUACUGUUACUGGUUUUGUAGCAUCAAUAACAACUCCUAAAUAUUGCAGGUAUCUUCUAAGUCAAAUAGCCUUCUGCAUUAUAGCUGAAGAUGCUACAAACUCAGCCUCCCUCAUAGAAAAUGCUGUACCUGCUUUCUUUCUGCUAAUCCAAGAGAUGGUGCCAUGAUUAAGCAAGAAAACAUACCCUAAAAUCAAUUUACACUCAUCCAGUUAUCCACCCCAAUCAGCAUUUGUGUAACCUACUAAGCACAAAUCACCUGCUUGAUAAUGUAGGGAAUAUUCUGUAGUGCCUCUGAGAUAUCUCAUUAUCCUCUUGAGCACUUUCCAAUAUGCUAGUCCUGGAUUUGAUUAAUAUUAGCUUAUCCCACAGUGAAUCAAAGAUCGUGCCUAUUACCCAUCAUAUAUAUAUAUAUAUAUACAUAUACAUAUAUUAGGCUUCCAAUAACACUAGAAUAGGGAACUCUUAUCAUUUGUCUCUCUUCUUCUAUAGUCUUACGAUGCAUUUUGAGAUUUAGACCUUUGCCUGCCACCUUUUGUUGGUGGUGGUCACCAUAAUAUGAUGGUUGAACUCCUGCUUUUAAUCCUUCCACAAUGUUGGAGUUCCAUGAUCACCAAUUGACAGUUACAGUUGUUGAGAUGCUUUCUACUUGCUUUGGAAGAUGUGAUUUGCGCGGGUCUUUCCUCCGUAGGGCAGGGAUGUACCUUGCCUAUUGCCAUUAGUAACUAUUAAAGUUAAAAGAUAACAAAGAGGAAUUAAAGUAAGAACCUAAUGUAUUAUCUAUUACUGAUACUCAUAAAAAAAUAACCAACCUGAUUGGGUUGGUGAGGAAGAAGGCAAAGGAUCCCACCCCUCCUUUCCCAAGUUAAAAUCCAUGCAGAAAGGAGAAAAUAAAGACUUUGGAAACCAAAAAUAUGAUCAAGUAAGAUGAAAUAAACUAGGGGUAGAUGCGAAAAAAGCAAAAAUAUUAUAAAAACCUAAGAAGAAAGAAAGACAAGGGAAAGGGAAAAAAGACUUCCUUGAAUUGAUAAGCUUGUAUCGUCCGGUGCUCCUCACACGAAUGUUUGUUUUUUUUUCUUUCCGCUAGAGCACACAAACCUUUGUUUUAUCACAGACAUAGAAAAAAUAUUUUAUUAUUUAGGCUUAUUUGAGAAACAUGCUAGCCUUGCUCCGGUGAGAAUCCUUAGUUUUCUUUUGAUGUUGUAAGCCAUGGGGAGUGGGGGUAUGUCUAUAGGUGCUCAAGGGCUGUUAGAUUUCAUCCCUUUCCAAUGUCGGACUAAAAGCCGGGUACAAGACAUGCUAGGUUGUUUUCCUGAGUUUGGAAAAAGGUUAGGGUUAGAAAACCUCUUGAGCCCAUCCACAUCAUCCUAAGUUAUUCCUAUUUCAAAAUAGAGACUUUUGACCAAAAUACCUUGUUUGCAUUCUGCAUGUCAUUCAUUUGAUUGACCAUAACUUUCUAUUUCAAAUUCAAUAUUGAUUUCUCCAAAAUGCUUUGGACUCUUAUUUGAUGCUUAAAACAAGAUACAAUAUUGACCAGUUUGGACAAAAAAAUUAUGAAUGAAUUUUAAAAUGUGACAAGGUGUUAUGUGAGACUGGUGUGGACCAGUCAUGUGAUUUGCACAUUGAAAAGGGAACCCACUAAAAUUCAUUAGGGCCUGUUUGGAUGAAUAGGCAAAAAUUUCUCUAGAAUUUCAAAAACUAUGGAAAUCGAGUGAUGCUGCAAGAGGAUCCCAUGUCAAAAACUAUCACGGAUUCUCUAGUAACUGCUUUUGGGCUGAUUCUAGGACAUUAUAUGGAAAAAUUCAUUGCAUCUAAAGGUCAUUAUUUGAAGUUUGUUGUUAUGGAUUAAGUCCAGGAAAACUAGGCGUUAUCAACUAGCUGUUGUAAAUUAGUUGGUUUAAAUUAUUCUGUGGAAAUAAAAUAUUCAGUAUGUAAAUUACCAUGAAACAAAAUAUUUCUUACUGACAUGGUGAUUUAUAUUUUUAAGGCUCUUAUUUGAUGAAAUGAAUAUUGACAGAGUAUAUUAAUACAAAUAUUUUCAGAGUGGAGUGAUCAUUUAAGUGGAUAAUAGAUUUUUCAAAAAAAUGUUGGAUAAAUAGUUAAAGAACAGUCAUUUAAAUGUUAAAUAUUUGUCACGUGUAUAUGUAUUACAUAAAUGUCAGAUUGACAGCCGUAGUAUGACCACUAAUGGCUGCUUUCUUAGAACUUAUUCAAAAAUACAAAUCUAUCCUUGGUUAUUUACCAAUACUUAUUUAGCUGAAGCGUUAUCAAUUACUAGAUUCUAGUUGAAAUCAUCUAUUAGGAACUAUGAGUCUUUUUGAUGAACAACACAUUCUCCACAUUCUCCAAGUGGUUUCAAUAAUUCUUGUUAUGGACCGUCUUGGAGUGGUUGCCCAUUUUAGUGCCUCCUUCCAUGGCUAUGUUGGUUGUUAACUCCAAGAUUAAGAAAGAAAUGGUUGUAUCUAAAACAAUUUAUAGAGAGGAAUGAUUCUGGGAUUCAUCUCAUGCUGCCUUCUGCCUCUAACCUUCUUUCGUCUUCAGCUCUUGCUCCAACCUGAACCUGUGUGCCUGAGAGGGAGAGAGAGGGAGCGAGAACAUGAAGGUUAUCUCCUGAAGAAGGGAAGGGUGAGGGGCAGAUUAUAGUUUUUAGAUGCUUCUAAGGUAGGGGGAUGGGGUGUGCGUUAAUGCAUGAGAAACAUAGGAAAAAAUAAAUGGCUCUGAGUAGAUUCUUUCCCUUCCAUGGAAUGCUGCUUUUACCAUGGUCUAUUUGACCUGAAAGAUGAUUCCCAAACAACAGUCAGGAAUCAUUGAUUACAUGGUCUCUAAUUCCUUGGAAUGCUGCUUUUACCAUGGUCUAUUUGACCAAGGUUUUUAGGUGGAUCCAAAAGUAGCCUUUAAUUCCAAAAGAAUUCCAAAGAAGUAUUUGAUGAUCUCAAGUGCAUCUUGAUUAUGUCGUGUGGCCAAAACUGUGCUGCCAGCUAUCUACAAAUGGUAAAUUCUAAAUUUUCAGUCAAACAAUACUAUCACAUUGUUGCUUAAUCAUCAAAAAAAUAGCUAAUCAAAUAUCUAAUUAAUAUCAAUCUAUUAAUAAAAUAAUAAAUCAAGCAAGAAACUCUACUUAGAUAAUAUUGCUAGAUAAUAGGAAUCAAACUAAAGGAAAAUUAUGUUGGCACCAAACAAUAUAUAGCAAUGCGAGCGGUCAUGCUUGUAAGCUGCGUAUAGUUUAAGGUAGUCUUGCUUAUCUAAAGAACAAACACAUGCACUUAAUAGUGAGAAUCUUUUAGACUAGAGUAAUGCAUCCAUUUUGGAAUCUUCCCAAAAUUUCAAACCUUCACUUUUCUUCCUAAGCGUUUCUUUACUACAAGUGUUUCUAAGGUAAUCUGCUUCCUUGCACUUGCACAUGCUUCCUAUUCUAGCAACAAAGGACAUGCAUUGAUAUAAUAAACUUAAUAAAGCUCCAUGCUUCCAAUAUAUAUUUAUGCUUAUGGAUGCCUAUGCCACUGUGUUAAUGGAUGCCUGUGCUGUUGUAUCUCCUCCUUGGGGUAUUAGCGUCCUUCACAGCAUUAUUUAUGUUGAUACGAUUAGUUGUUCCUGUGAUCAUAUCCUUCUUUCUUAUUUUGGAGUGACUAUGUGACUGUAGCUACUCUGUUAUCUUUUUACAGCAAACAUCAUUGUUAUGUACAUGUAAUAUCAUUUAUGGCACAUUAUUAAAUGUAGAAGCUGAAUCUGUUGGUUGAAGUUGACCAUCACUUAGUUUAACACUGCUAGAAGGCAGCAAGCCUUUCUCAUUCUCUCUCACUCUCUCUCAAAUGGCAAAUGAACUUUCAAGUACAUGACAAGUUACAAUCCUCACAACUUAGUGUACAUAGUACCCAUCCAAUCAUCCUCAAAACUAUAUUGUAUCAUAGCACCAGACUCCAAUUAGCUAUCUGUUUUCUGCGUCGAUAAGAUAGCAAGCUCCUUACAUGCCCCUUACAUUAUUUUUUUCCAGGGGAAUUCCAUAUCGACUACAAAAUACAACAUUCUGACCUUUAUACCAAAAGGGUUGUUUGAACAGGUAAUUCAGAUAUCAACCUUUUGAUAACAAUUCCUUUUAAUACUUUCUUGUGAAUAUAAAAUUUUUCCCGUCGUAUUCAAAUUGUUAAGUUUUUGUCUCUGAAAAAUACUGUAUUUGCACUGACAGUUCAGGCGGGUGGCUAACCUGUACUUCCUUAUGAUUUCAGUCUUAUCUACUACACCAAUCAGGUAUGCUUUAGUUUCAGGUUAAGGUGUGGAAAAUAUAGUUUUAUUCUAAAUCUAAAGUUUUUUGAGGUCUGAAUCAUAACUUGUUAGAAAAGAGUUAAUGACUAUAGUGUUAGUGGAUCACAAAAUUAAGUGAUGGCAACCUUUAUUUUGGAUAUUCUUGGCAUUUUACUUAAGAUACUCAUUUUCUUGCAGUCCGGUUUCUCCCAUAACAAAUGUUCUUCCACUCAGUCUAGUGCUUUUGGUCUCUCUUGUUAAGGAGGCUUUUGAGGACUGGGUUAGUAACACUAGCGGUUAUUCAAAUUUUAGCAUUCUAUUUAUCUUUUCAUCAAAAGUUUCAUAUUGCAGUUCAUUUUUCAAUUUUAAUCUGAUUUUUUUGGCAAUUGUUAAAACAGAAGCGUUUCCAGAAUGAUACAUCAAUUAAUAGUACCCCUAUUGAUGUAUUGCAAGGUCAAAGAUGGGAAAGUAUUCCCUGGAAGAAGCUGCAGGUCGGUGACUUGGUGAGGGUAAGAUUUACGGACUUCUCUUUGAUGCAUGCCAUCAAUAAUUGUGAUAUCAGGGUAGAUAACUACUGUCUGUUGGCUGCCGUUUGAAGAAUUGGAGAAUGGUUCUGCCUAAUAACAUAUAAGAUUUGGGUUGCUCUUGUGUAAGGUGCUGAGAGUCCAUCUAGUUUAUUUUAUGUGCUCCAGAACGUAAUAGCUAAACUUACUGCGUGCAAAACUUUUUCGCCAAAUCAAUGGGGGCUUGGCCGUUGAGUACAUUUUGUGACUAUUUCCUGCACAAAUUUAGAAUGCUGUAUCAUCCUGAUAAUAUUCCUAGAAUUUCUAAAAAUUCAUAGUUUUCUUGAAUCAAUCAUGUUUUUGCUUGUUUAUCAAGCAAUGCUUCCUUGUUCAGCUUUUGACUUGUAGCAGACACUGGUUAUCUAUGUUUCGUUAAGUAAAAUAUCUUAUGUCAUGUUUUCUUUUAUUUCUUUUUUUUUUUAUAUGUAAUAGAGAUAUAACAUUGGAAGUUAAUGUAACAGGAGCACAAUGGAAUAGAAAAACUGUUAUCCUUUGAUUACAUUCAUGGUUACUACCUUCUAUAUAAAGAACAAAUCUGGGAAUCUAACAAGAAAAGUUCGUUGCUUUGCUUUGCUUUUCUAUAAGUCACUAAUUCAGCAAGAUCUGCUUUUUGCUCCUUAGUUACUUCUGCUCCACUACUUUUCAAAUUUUAUGUUCGGAUUUCUUGCCGGAAUCUAUUUGCUGGUUAAAAUGAAUUUCAAUUUGCGGCACAUUAUUAGUAUAGUAGGUCAAUUACCUUAUAGUCUAUGCAAUGAGUAAAAUGCAAUGAUGUUCAUGCAUCACAUGCGUGAACCUAAACAAAAGAUAUUGCUAUAAACGUCCCUUCACAUGAAAGGCUUUCUAAAUUUACCUUCUGUUCUUUAGUUGUUCUCUGGGUGACCCCUUCAGUCACUAUUUAAUGGUGGUUCACAUGAUAUGAUAAUGAGGAACUCUUAUUAAUAAAGAAUAUAAAGCAUUAAAUAUUAUAUCUAAUACAAACUAGGAAUAAAAAUCUGGUGUUUCUUGUUCUUGCCAACUAGGGGUCAGCAUCAUAUGCAUGCUUUACCAUUCUCUGUCAAAGUCUUGGCAGCUGGCACACAUCACCAUGGAAAAGAUAGAGAAGUCUGUAUAAGUUUUCACAGCAUAUAAUUUGAAAACAACAUGCAAAUGUGUUUGUACAUUAACAACUCCAAUAAGCUUACAGUUCAUGAUAAAAAUUGCAGGGAGCUAAUAACCAUGUUUACAUGGAUGCACGUGUUGUACGCAAAAUCAAUAUAUAUCUCUUACACUGGUUGUUCCAUUAACUGUUUAUAUAUUAUGAUUAGUUGAUUUAAAAUGUGAUAUGAUGAUGAACAAAAAUAAUUUAUAUCAUGUCAAAUUCAUAAAUUAAGGCUCAAAAUACUAAAUGCAAAAAGAUAAACAAAUUAACGGGGAAAAGAUCCUAGUUGUCUUGCAUAGAACUUUAGUUGCUAGAUCUGGGAGCAGGUGUUGAUGUGGGGAAGCAGACAUUUUAGUAACAUUUUUAUUGAGUAAAUGCUUAAAAACAGGUCCACAUUCAAGUUCCAAGAAGUCUUGGAAAUGAGUGCAUUAACCUAGCUAGAAGAUUUUGAUUACUAAGCAUGGAACAAUGUUGCUUUGGGAUUGUUGGGGUUAGAUUAUAAUCAAGAAACGUGCAGAAGCUGUACUACUUGUAUUUGUGCCAUUAUGUAUCUUAUUAUGUAUUAUCUUGAUUUUUAACCUUUAAACCAUUACUGAAUGAUAAUUUAUAUUGUGCUCAACAUACAUAGUGGGAUUUGAUAUAAGAAAAGCUGAAAAGUGUGGUGAUUAGCUCCAGCCUAUCCAUAUACUUAGGAUGGUUGCUUAUAUGCUUAAAAUGGAAAAGUAAGGUAUGAUCUAGUACCAUGUUGUAUUGACUUCUAGUGGUUGCAUUGUUUUGAUUAAGAUUCACCGUCUCGGUAUCGGACUCCGUAUUGGUGCCACACUAGUAUAGUGUCGGUACGGUAUGAAAUUUUAUGGACGUACCGAUACUUGGUACGCCAUCUGUACUGGGUACCGGUACCGAAUUGGUAUGGUACUGUACGCUUUGUACUGCCCGAUUCGGGCCGGUACAGCGUACCAUGGUUUCGAUACACAUCAAUAUAGGUUGACAUUGGUGAUAUGAAUUGGCAGUGGUACACAUGAUGCAUCCUAUAUUGAUCUAUGCCUUCACAUGUAUUGCAAACAUGAAAUGAUUUAAGCUGGAAUUAUAAUUCUUGCAAACACUCAUAAGGAUUGUCGUACCGGUUGGCAUUGGUGUGUACCGACCAUACCACGCGGUACCGAACUACUACAUGGUAUGGAGGGCGCAUUGAGUCUUGGUAUGCCGAACUGGCUCCCAUACCGAGUGUACCAAUAUAGUAAUAGGAUGGUACCGGUAUGUGGGGUCCAUUACCGACAUGGCGAACGUUGACUCAGUGUGUUGAGAAAGUAAUUAACUCAUUCAAAAUCAUAUCCUAACCAAUGUCCUUAAUAUUAAUUAAGCAAAGUAUCCUUUGCAACCAACAUCACGGAAACAACCUGCAACUUUCUGACAUGCAUGAUUCAUGAACCUUUCACUUGAGUUGACAUAUUGCCACUACCUUUCACCUGAGUUUACAUGUUUCCACUUUAACUAGUGGAUUUAUUAAGCAAUUAUUUGACAGAUAUGGCCCCUUAGGUUUGUUGACCAACAAUAACUACUCUUGUGAACAUCAUCUUUUGGCUAGGAAAGGUUACUCUAGUUUGCAAUGUACACAGGUGAGUCAACACGUCGUUCUAUUAUGGAUGUGUGAAUUAUAAUUCUUCCACGUGUAAUCACAAGAUAAACGGCUGCUAAGUUGUCUUAACAUAGCUUAGUAGUGCUACUUAUAGCAACUAGGAGUGCAUUGUUGUGUUCUCUUAUACCUACCUGAAGCAUAACAUUUAAUGUUCUGCAGUUUUGCCUCUAGACGUGGCCUUAUAGAUUAUUACACAAACUGCAUAAAUAACAUAUAUUUAUUUGGGAUGAAUGUUGUUUGUAAAUUUGGCAUUCUAGUGCAUAAAUUCCAACAAAACAAUUAGAAAUGAGACUCAGGAUUUGAACAAGCUUAAAGAACAAGUAGAGAAUAGCAUAAAUAGUGCCAAAAUGUCAUUAAAAAUGGAUCACAACUUAGUAAAUGAUAAACUAGAAAGUUAUGAGGUAUUAGACAUUGUGGAAUCAUUACCUUGAGUAGGAAACACAUUUUGUUUUCUAGCCUCAAAACUGUAAUUGAAUAACUUUCUUCAAAACGGGAUUACAUGGACUAGUCUUCACCAUUGGAAACCCUUCGAAGCAUUGUUAAAACUAGGUAAAAGGAAUCAUAACCAUCUUCCUUGGCAUACAUCAUACAAAUAAGAAAACCUUAAGUUUUAUUAAAUUAUUCAUAUGGAUUUUAACAACUGGAAAUGGUGGUUUCAAUUUAGUCUCUUUUCACUUCUGUUUCUAUUGAGGAUUCCUAGAAAAUUUGAACCAUAAUUUAUGCCCUCGUAGGACCGAAAUUGAAAAACCAUGUAGCUUAUCUUAUCCUUAACACCCCUUGUCCAUUUAUGGGGUUAAAUUCAUGCUUCAUAGCAUGAUACAUCUAGGUAUGUAUUUGCAUAUUCUCAUUCCUUGACAUUAAUAGUCCUUUACAUGUCUCACAUUCCUAACUUCGGCAAUCUGGUUAGAGUGGAGCUUGUGAACCUAGAUCAAUUUGAAGAAAGGUGAAUCUGCCUUGCUGAUUAUGUUGCCUAUGCUCAUGUGCACUUGGAGAAAGCCUCCAAAAUUACUUAAUCUGAAGUAGUUUAAUUAAAUGGACAAGAGUUUGAUGAGGGAAUUGCAAUUGCUUUUGUGGUACAAAAUUAAAAGUUCAAGAGUGAACUUGGUAAAGAAUCUCCAAAAAAGAUAUCCAGUUGAAUAUGUAAUAUUGGACUUCUUUUAUUUGUAGGUAAUGAGGUCUUGCUACUAUAGUAGAGUCCUCACUUAAAGAGCUAUUUUUAUGUAUCAAUAUUGGCUGCAAGGUUUUAAGUCCCAAUUGGAUGGGGGGCAUCCCAACUGUCUUAUCCCGUUCUGUUCUUGUGGGAAAACGGGAUCUGGAUAGGUCGAGACUCCGAAACCCAUCCAUGUGGGGAGAGAAGAAGAAAGAGGAAAGAAAGAAAGGAAGAAAAGAUGAAGAAAAGGAAAAAGUGAAAGAAAAAAAGAAGAAGAAGGCAAGUAAGGAAGGGAGAAGAAAAAGAGAGGAAAGAAGGAAGAAGGGGAAGAGAAAAUACAAGAAAAAGAAAAAAAUAGAAGGGAUAAGAAAAAGAAAGAAAAAGAAAAGGAAAGAAAGGAAGGUACAAAAAAGGAAGAAAAGAAAGAAGAAAAAGAAAGAAAGAAUGAAAGAAAGGAAAGAACGGGAGGGAGACGGAGGAUAUCUAAUGGGAUGGAUGAUCAAAAUUGUUGCUGGGAUUAGGCGGGAUAGCGGGUUGUCCCGUUCCAUGGAGAAAUUGGAGCACUCCCAUCCCACGGGAUUUAAAACCUUGAUUGACAGUCUUAAGAUUCAUUUCCUAUUUUGCAUCCUCUAGCCAUUGCCAACCUAUCAUAAAAGUUCUCUUAUUUAUCUUGGUUUGAUAUCAAGAUGUUUAACAUGGAAAGUAAUAUCGCUCCAUCAAAAAUCUCUUACAAUAGCCGUCUUUUCUAUGGUGUGACCUUUAAUUUCACUUUCUCUAUUAUAUCAUCUAAACUCACAAGCAACAUCGUACGAGCUUAGAAUGCACCUAAUCAUAGUCGAUAGGAAAUACCCUUGCAAAUCCUCAAAGAAGUAGUGGGUAGCAAUUAUUGUAAUCUUUAUGUUUGUUUUUUUAUUUGGCAUAUCUAUUUGUAGCCUCAUUAUCAUGGCACACCAUAUUAUGCCAAAUCGGACGGUACAGGGCGUACCGUACCAUACUUGUUCGAAACUGGUACGUGGUACGGAGAGUGCCGAAUCGGCCUUGCACCGGGCAUUUCGAUACGGUAACAGGGUGGCACCGGUGUGGGGCUUGGUAUCGAGGCGGUGUACCUUUCUCAUUAUUAUGGAUCUUGUGUUGGUAGGAAGGAAAUGAUCCUUAGUCCUUACAAUAGUUAGGGCUGUUCGUGAUGCUUAUUUUUUGUUUAUUAACAUUUCUUGCCACCUUCUAUCUAACAUUUGCUAAACUACAUUGCUUUAGGAAAUGUUCAAAUUCUUGCAUCAUUAGAGUUCAUCACACCAAAGGAGCUUUUUAUCACAUGUUGUAACUUGCACUAGAAUGUAAAGGAAACCUAGCUCAUUUUACCAUUUUUUCUUGUGUUGUAACAAUUUUUCUUACAUUUCCUCCAACCUUUUGCAAAAUUUUAUUGCUUGAACAGGUGCUUCAUUUUGUGUUAUUUGCAACACAAGCUUCUAUCUUGUUCUUAGGUCAUUAAAUAGAAUAUCUCUUAGGGGGUGCUAGUAGGAUGGAUAGCCUCGACUUAUAUCUGAUUCAUACUUAAAGACCACCUUGUUGGGCAUGGGUCUCUCUUAAAUUAAUAUUGGACAUUGGACAUCUAAUUCGUUGGAUAUGAAUUUGAGAUAAUUGGACCUAACUUGACUGAACUUUGACACUGAAAAAUAUUAUUUGAAAAUUCUGGAUCUAGCUCAAGAAGCACGCCUUGAGCUAGACUCAACCUAGGAGAUUUGACUCAACUCAAACCCCCAAGUGAUGGGUUUGAUCUUGGUCUAAAUCUUAGACCUAAAGGUGGCCCUAGCUGGACCCAAGUCUAGAUUGCUCUACCUGGCCGACUUGUAGUCCUAUGGGGUGUUGAUUGAUGAUAAGGCCAGUAAAGGAUGAGUUUAAGGGAAGCUUGCACCACUUUAAAGUUGUUUGACUUAAGAUAAUGGUUGGACAAAAGCAAGGUACGCCAUCUCGAUAUCGGGCUCCAUACUGGUGCCACGCUGUGGCAUAUCAGAAAGCUUGGUAUAGAGGCCGGUCGGCGUACCGACACUCUGUAUGCCCUCUGUACCGUGUAUUGGUGCGGUAUGUCCCGUACCGCCCGAUUCGUACAAUAUGACAUUCCAUGGACGAGAUAAAUUUUAGAAAGUGACACUAAUGAGUACUUCUAGGUGGUAGAAAAGCAACAUCGUAUCUUUCUUUAGCAACAAUGCUUUGAUGUUCUAACUUUAUAGGAAUUCUCUCAAAACACUGAAGAAGAGAUCCUUAAAUAUUUGAAACCAAGGAUUUCUAGCAAGGUUUGCUGUAUUGGUAUUGAACCACAUAAUGAUACCAUAUUGUUAGAGUGUUGGUACUUGGUACACUCAGUACGUUGGUCAGUUUGGCGUACUAAGACUUGGUACACCUCCUAUAUCGAGUCUUGGCUCGGUAUUGGUAUCGUACGAUAUGCCUGGUGCGGGAUGGUACGCACUAGUAUGGCGAACCUGGGUUUCUAGUAAACUUUGGAGCUUUGCUCGGUAGUUUCUAAUUAUAAUCUAUUUCUAAGUAUAGGCUUGAAUUCAUAGGGAAAUGUCACAUGGACAAGAAAGUUGAGGUAGACAUAUUAAAUGGUUGAGAUUGAGAAGAAAUUGCCAAAGUUAUACACCAACUCCCAAAGCAUUUGUGAUAAGUCCGAGAAGAUGAACUUAGAGCUUUAUGAUGAAACUUGAGACGCAUGUGAUAAGUAGGUCGUGCUAAUGCACUGGAAUCCAUAUUUAAGGGAUUUGGGAGAUUAUAUGCAAUUAUAAUUUACAUCGGUCAUACGUAAGACAUGAGUGGUACAUGUAGCAGCUUCGUUUAUGUAUCUUAAAGAACCAUAUAAAUUUAAGGUAUGCGAGACUCUGGGUAUUGGUUUAUGUUCACUUGCUUUAUCUGUUGGAUCAACAUCUUACGUUAGUUUGGUAGGUUAUCCUUUUUGCCACCCUCUCAUACCUAUGUUGAAGUGCUUAUUUGUGCAAUAGUGCAAUAUAAAAUGUUUCUUAGUACCUCUAUUGCAAUAACUUUAGCUGAAGCAAUUCACAUGCUGCUAUUAUUUCAGAUAACAAUUGUAGUUGUAAGUUUUGGAUGAAUGCUUUUGCUUAAAAAAAUAAAGAUACAUGAUUAAUGAAUUAAUGAACAAUGAAGGGCUUACAAUGGUUAUUUAUAUUUGGAGCAGGUUAAGCAAGAUGGGUUUUUCCCUGCUGAUUUGCUAUUCCUUGCUAGCACAAAUCCUGAUGGUGUUUGCUACAUUGAGGUUUCUUUCAAGACCUAAAUCCUUGAAAAUUUGUUUGUUGCUUUUUAUAUAUGAUGGUAGCAAUGAAAAAAAAUCAAAUAUAGAUGUCUAUCGGAUGCCCUAACUAAUUACUACUUUGUGGGUUUUAGACUGCAAAUCUUGAUGGGGAGACUAAUUUGAAGAUUAGAAAAGCAUUGGAGAGAACAUGGGAUUAUUUGGCUCCUGAGAAAGCUGCUGAAUUUAAAGGUUCCUUCAUUCUAGUUCAGAUGUUUUCUAAAGUUAUUUUUGACUUAUACUAUGUUCUACACAAGAAUACUUUUGAACAUACGUUCCAGCUUUUGAAUUAGUAGAGAAGUGUUCAUUGGCCAAGUUGAUCAUCAAUCUUCAUUUAGUGAUAUGCAUUCAUGAAAAUAAAUAUUUUAGCAGAUGAUAAGUCUUUUCCAUUGCUUAGAGAUGUUGUUUUGAUACCUUUGAUAAUAGUCAUAGUGAUGGCGGUUAGAUUUGAUAUAGUAAAUUUUAAAACCCACUUCCUACAGUAGUACACUGGAUUCUCAAAGCCCUCCAUGUCUCUAUAUGUUUAUGUACAAUUGUUGCAUCCAGUUAGACAAAGAGCUAGUUUAGGUGCCACACCUACUCUCAAAAUUGCCUUUUUCUUUCUGCUUGCAUAUAAUUGUUUUUAUUCUUUCUAUCUCCAUAGCUACUUAUAGUUGACAUUGAUCUAUCGAAAAAUUUCACUUUUAAUCAAGUUAAUUUUGUUCUUGUAGAGGAUAGGUUUUGAGACUCUUUUGCGUAGUUUGUUGAGGUAAGCAUGUAGAGAAAUGUUUGAGGAUCUUGGGGAUGAGGUUGAUUAAGAAGGGGAAUGUGGCCAUUUUUUGGAAGUGUCUUUAGGGUCUUGCUGAAAGUUGAAACAGGAACUCAAAAAAAAGGUCACCACUCAUCACGAAUGCUAUAUGAUAUACAAAAGAGAUCUGAUUUCUAGCAUAGUUAAUUGGUUUUUACUGGUAUAGAUGGAUAAUUUGAAGUCUUGCCAAGCUUCUUUUUUUCCAAUUUUUUGUUUGCUCAUCUAUACAAAGGCAAUGGUUCAAAAUAGCGAGCAUCAAAUUGAUGUCUACCAUGGGUGGGUACAAUAUGCAUUGUAUCUUGUGCCAUAUUGAUAGAGUGUAUUAAAUAUAGUUUGAAACAAUUUUACCUGCCCUUGGUAGGGCCUAUUUUUGCCUUGAGUUUUUUUGUCAUUUUCUUUUGUUUUAUUGUCCUAAUGCUAUGCUAUUGUAGAUAUUAUGUAGGAGUAUCGCUUUAAGUUCCCUAGUCAUGGUGGUUAAUUUUAUUACAUAACAUAAGUUGCAAUUUAAGUUUACUAAAAUGAUAUAUGCGCUAAAAUUAAUAUUUGCAAUGCAAUUAGGUUACUAGAAAUCAUUGAGUUAAUGAAUCAUGCCAAUGUUUAUCAUCUGUCAGGAUGAAAUAGUAUAUUGCUCGAAAUAGUAUGAAAAUGAACAAGAAAAAGCAUAUCUUUUGUAUUAUUGAACAACAACUAUAAUUUGUUUGACAUGGAAAAUUAGAAAUAUAUUCCCUCAGUUAAUUGCUGUAUGGAUUACAUGGAGGGCAUCUAAAUGUUGUCUAUGUGGAUGGAAUCGGGCCAGGUCGGAUUUGGCCAUUCUCCUGCCUGAGCUCAGCUUGAAGCAAUUUGUUUUCUGGACUACGAUUAGGCCUAAAGAUCUUUUAAAAUCUCAGCCACAACUUGGGCUUGGCCUCGGGUUGAAACCCAAUUGGGCCACCAAAAGUAGCCCGUUUGGGCCAAAAGAUUGGUUGUCUUGGGGCCCUUGGAGUGGCAGGAGUUGUCGUUGAGGAAGGAUGCCAACAGCUUGGUGGCCUCUUGCUAGCAUUAGUAGGUGAUGAGGUAGUUGAUGAACUCCUCAGUGUAGGAGGGGUCGAAGAGAAGGUAGCGGUGGAGAAAGGUCUUAAUGGGGAUGCUAGGGAGGAUGACAAGGGUGAGGUAGGGGGCUAGAGGCGGUUGUGUUGGGUGAUAAGGAGUGCAUGGAUAGCAUGGUUGAAGGUGCGACAAGCGAUGGUGGGAGGCGUUGUUGGGUAAGGGAGGAGAGGUACAUGAGCCAGAUGUAGGGCAUCUUGUGCAUGGUGAUGAGGGCUUGCUUGAAGGUGUUGUUAAGGGAUUGGAGCUGCUUGGAUCAGUGUCCGGUAAUGAUGGGAGGGUGAUGUGAGGGGCUAUUAUGUCAUGUGGGAGUGGGUGGGGAGGUGGAAAGAGGCAAUGGAUCUAAAUCUCGAAGGGAAAUAAGGGAUAGAAAUUAGAGAUCAAGGGUUUUAGCCCUUGCCCCCCCCGGACUCACUAAACCCAAUGAAUCGAACUCAUCAAAGAGUGACAAGGGUCUAGCUUAGGGCUUGAUUGCAUAUAGGGUUCGAUCGUGCCUUGGGCCAGGUUAAGGCUUGGUUCCAAGCUGGCUUCGGGCUUGGUUCCGAGCGAACUUUGGGCCUAAUCUUGGGAUCCCAGGCUUCGACUUUGGCCCGGGUUAGGCCAAGCAUUGACCUAAGCUUGGUUCAAUCUUUGAGCUCUAUGUUUAGGCCCAAACGCAAGCCCAAUUGCCUCUAUCUAGCCCAUGCACCGACCUAAAGUUAGCUUGGCCCAAUAGGCCUCAAGCCAGCUUGGGCCCACUUCUAGCCCAAGUUGUUUGGUCUUAGGUUCACAUUGUCUUUUUGGUAGAGUUAGUCUUGAUAUUGCAUCCUAUACUUCAUGUACCAUAUAGGGCAAGAUUAUAGAUGCCAGUACCGAACCCAAUACUUUUUUUCCAGUGGCACAAUAUAGUACCUAAUGGGACUGGUAGUGAUGGUAUGUACCUGAUCUGACAAAAAAAAGGGGACAUUACCUAGUUAUGGUCCUCAUGAUCUAGGGUUCUAGGAGGGGCAAAUUAGGGAUAGUCCAAAUUUUUGGAUAGGGAAUUGGUUCAUGUUCGGGGGGAAUCGUUUGGAAUUGGAUAUGUUGUCAGGAAAGUCCAAACAGGCUUGUCAUUCGGUCGCCUUUGUGGGCUGUAUAGGAUAUAAAGUUCAAUUAGUAAUACUGCCCAUUUGGCUAGAUUCUCGGAUAGUGUUGAUCUUGUCAUGAUGUAUUUAAUGGGGUCCACCUUGGAUAUGAACAUGGUUUGAUGUGCCAAGAGAUAAUGCUUGAGCUUUUUGACUGGGAAUAUAAGCACGAGGCGCAUCUUCUCGAUAGCCAAGUAUUUGUUCUUUGCGUCCACCAUCUUCCGGCUUAAAUAGUGUAAGACCCUUUCCUGUCCUUCAUCAUUCUUUUGUGAAAGCAAAGCACCUAAGGAUUUGUCCGUAAGUGCUAUAUAAAAAAUGAAAGGUUUUCCUUUCUUUGGAGCUGCUAGGACUUGAGGAUUUUACUCAAGGUCAUUCUUCGGUUUCCCGUCUUUUUUUUCAUCAAACAUGUUCAAGCUUUCUUAGAAGAUUAGUCUUUACUUUAAUCUUUAUUAGGAGUCCAAACCAUCACAAGUGACAUUGAAAACCAAACAGAAAUAACUCUCUUUUGACUAUCUAGAUGUCUGUAUGGUUGGAUGAUAGUUCUCCAUGUCAGACCUUGUCAUCUUUGUUUUUGUUUCAUUUUUUGAAGACUAGUUGAAAAAUGAAGGAUUGCUGAUGACUAUUGAAUUUUAGAAUGCUUUCAAUCUAAGACUAAUUAGAUAUAGGGAAAAUGGUGGCUUGGGAGUUCUGAUUGAGUACAUGAUUGAUUGUAGCUUGUCAAGCUCAAAAACUGACGUGCGUGGAAUGCAACAUGCACAAGAAAGGAAGGAGCAAAUGUUAAAGACAAUCAAAACUUUAUUGAUCUUCUUCAACAUCUGGAGAUGGCAUUUCCCCUACAUCUAUAAGCUGUAAUAAUUUGAAUCCUCAGAAAUUAUGCCUACUCAGAACCAUUAAUCUGAUUAUUUAACCCUAAUCCGUAGAAUGAAUUUGUAACAAAACAAAAGAAAUUGGAAAAUAGGGAUAUCAUCUUAUGACCUACAAAAGAUAUGGCUUAAGUAGAUCCAAACUUGGGAAAAAUUAAAUAAGAUCUUAAACUGAAGACUCAUCUAAUUCAAGUCAGUUCUUUGUUGCAUGAGCUAUAACUAUGACCAAUAAGGUAUAUUGCUCACUUGAUAUGCUUAAUGACAUUUAAGGUUGCACAACUUUUCCUUCACUGCCAAAAUCUGGCUUCACCAAAAAUCUUGUGCUAAUUCUAUGUGUUUGUUGUCAAUUUGAUGGCAAUUCAUAAAAGUUUGCCUUCGUGUGGAAUCUUGUCAACUCAGGUUAUGAUCCACAAACCUUUUUAUGUUGGAAAAAGGCUUGAAUGGUGAUGAUAGUACAAGCAUGGUUCGCCGUACUGGCCCAAACUAGAUGGUACAGAACAUGGUAUGUCGUACCGGCCCGUACCGGCCAGUUCGAACCGGUUCGGGCUGGGACCGGUAUCGGAUCACUAUGGGAUCUGGUACCGGGAGCUUUUCAUUGGAAAACCGGCCGGUAUGACUGCCGUAUCGGUACGGACCGAUCUGGGCCGUCACCAAUACGCCGACCGGUACGGGUAUGGUGUAAAGACCUCAUACCAUAUCGUAUCGAUAGUGCUAGUGUGGCAUUGGUACGGGAUCCAUGCUUGUACACAAUGUACACAAUGUGUUAAAACUUUCCUGCCUGUUACAUUUUUAUUUUGUCAAUCCUUUCAUCACAUCCGAAGAUAUAGUUUUGAGUUUUUUUGAGCAAAGGAAAUCCUUCUAUCUAUGCUAACCUAUAUGUGAAUCUGCUAUCAUGAUAUACAAUCUUCUUGCAAAAUGUUUACUCAAAUUAGCGUAUAUUUCUCUUUUGCUUAUGGUGUUUUGCAUUAUUGGUUUUCAUCUAUUAUCUAUCUUAAUAUCCUUAAUACAUGUGCAGGGGAAAUGCAAUGUGAACAGCCAAACAAUUCACUGUACACCUUUACUGGAAAUCUUAUCAUUGAAAAGCAAACAUUGCCUCUUUCUCCAAAUCAACUUUUAUUAAGAGUGAGUUUCAUUACCUUCUUGUUGUUUUCAUUGUUUGUCUCAUGCUAUUCUGGGGCAAGGCAGGUUCCAUGAUAUGGUGCAAAAUGUGGGCAUGCUUGUCUUAAAGUCAAGAAUCAUUAGUUGCAUUUGUAAUAUUUGGUUAAUCUGUAUCAUACUUUCUAUUGCAAGAUACUAGGGUUUUGCGAGAUUGAACCUUGUUGAUUCCAAUCCCAUGUUUCAAAUAGAUGCUCUAGAUGGAUACUGUAAAAUUUCCUAAAUAAUAUAUAGCCUUUCUUUUGUUCUAUUAUUUUUUGUUGAUAAAGACAUUGAAGUUCUUUUAUGUGCCUAAAGGAACUGCAUAUUAGUCAGAAAGAUUGUUCCUGAAUCUUGAUUGCUACAACUUGUGUAUUCUUUUUGCAUGAUUUCUAGUUUAAUCCCACUACUUGGUCUCAUCUCAUCAGCUGAAUUUUGCCAUACUAUUGAGGAAAUUCAUUCUCCACUAUAACAAGACCAACUGAACUCUCUUACAUGGUAAAUUUAUAAGUUGUCUAUAGCAAUGGGGUAUUGACUCCACUCUUUCUUGUUAAUUAAAUGCAUUGGCGCCUUUUUGGUUGUAAAAAAAUUCAUGGAAGCUAAAAAAAGAAAAGUAGGAUUCAUGAUUUGCCGUUCCGGCCUGAACCUGGCAUUACGGCGCACAUCAUACUAUAUCGGUUUGUUACUGGCAUGCGGUACGGGUGGCGUAUUGAUAUUCGGUCGCCGAAAAAAUUUUGCACCAUACCGUACUAAUACUAUACUAGUGUGGCACCGAUACGAGGUCCGGUUUAGAGACGGCAAACCUUGGUAGAUUUUUUUCAUGAAAGGAAAAUGUUUUUGAGAGAUUUAAAAAUAAGUUUUCCAAAGUCGCCUAAUUUCUGUUGGAACAAACAAAAAGGAAACUAGAUUUUUCGAGGAACAUAAGUUCUCCAUGCAAUUUCUGAAACCAAAUUAUAUAUAUUGUAGCUAGGGAAAUCCAAGACGAAGAAAUCACCAGAAUUCAUGAAGAAUUGAAGAAAAUCAAUUGUGAAGCCACCUCAGACUUUAGCGUAUGUGACUUAAUAAUUCUUUGUUUAGUCCCAUAUGUUGGACCUAAUUAAAAAAAUAAUCCAUUACCAAAAUCUCUAAACUAGUCUCAGUAGCUCAUGGAAUUUGAUCUCUAUCUAUAUUAAUCCAUGCCCCUUAGUAUCUUCAUCACUUGUGAUGUGAAAGUUGCUGAACGCAAAUUGACUCCUCUUGGCUCUAGAACUCUCCCAUGUCAGCCUAUUCCUUGCAUUUUUGCUGAGUAAUGAGUAAACGAUGUGAAAUAAGAGAGAUUGGAGAAUCUUUGUGCACGAUCAAUUGAACAUGAUUGUUGGAAAGAGUAAGCACAAAUGAUGGCAUGAAGCACAAAUGAUGGCAUGAAGGAUUCUCUUUCCAUCUUCCAUUCAUAUCAGGUUUCCUCAUCAGUUCUGUUUAGAUUGAGGGUAUUAUUAGGCUGCUUUGAUACCGUUUAAAAUAAUAAAAAUAGAACUAGAUUAUAUCAAAUAUUACUUUUGUAAGAAGAUAUUAAAAAAUCUAAGAUUGUUUUUUUAUUUAAUACGAAUAAUUCAGACUGGGGCCAAAAUUUAACUUCUUCCCACAUUGAGUUUUGAUACCAUGGUUCAGAGAUGUCUAUAAUUCUACUACAUUUAAUGUCAUUUGGUGGAUUUCUUUUUCUAAAGUAAUUUAAAUUUCACCCUUCAUAUUUGUGUAACAUUUAUUGGGUGACCUUUAUAUAGUCCCUUUCUUAUUCUUUUUAGUUGUUUUUUAUUGAAUAUUUUGUUUAUCUAAUUGUCAGACUCUAGCUUGACUUCAUACCUUAAUUAUAAGUUUAUAACACUUUUCAUGGUAAUUUAUUUUUCAUAGAUUUGGCUUAUCUUUGUCAUGAAUAUGCGAAGCAGAUGGAAUCAAUAUAGUUGGGGUCAAUCAGAGGUGUUGAAAAGUCUGAAAUUCAGAUAGACCAAGUUGUCUUGUUGCAAUUAAUGAAACUCAGGGGCUGGGAAUUUUGUGGAUUGAAAAAAAAAUUCCACUACUUAACCUACAUAUUUUGAUCAUUACAAUUAUCUCCUAUAUUAUGAGAUAAACUUGAUUGAUAUUAUUUCUAAUUUUUGGGAGUAGCAUAUCAUUGUAUUACCAUCUCGUGACCUGCGCACCACACAGCUUAUUUGCUUGUAGACCCUUAAACUGAGACUCUGACUAAACUGAUAUGGUUGAAGUUUAUUAUAAUAUUGUGUUUACCUCAUUUUCUGAAUCUAUUCUUGAGCAUAUUAACAUGCCAUCUAUGAGAAUGCUAACCUCUAAUGUAGCUCAGAAAAAAGAAAAUUGAGACAAUUUGACCAUGCAAGAAACAAUAUCUCUUCAAGAUAAAUUUCAGAGUCCAUGAUCGAGAUGGUACAUGCAUCAGAUGCUGUAAUGGCACAAGUAGUUAAUGGCACAAGUAAUUGCCUCUUAAUGAAUUGGAUCUAAUCCAAUCUAAUUACCUAGAGCUGUCAAGAGUUUCUGAUCUGGUGUCCAGAUGAAGAUCCAAAUUUGGUUACCUGGUUAAAGAAAAUAGAUUUUGAUGAGGGUUGCUUUGAUCUGAUGGUGACGUGACCCUAACCCAACUUAUGUACGAUAUUAACAUGAAUAUUUGCUUAGAAACUUUACAAGAAUAUUCAUUUUGAGUUACAUCUAAUGCAUUUGUAAGGAAUAUUCUCUUGAAACUCUAGGUUAAAUUUUUUUGUGUAAGACAUACUCUGUGUAAGACAUACUUCUUGACCUCUUGAGACAAGGAUGGUCCAAAUAAUCUAAAUCAUAUGCACAAAAACACAUACACAUACAUGAAUAGUUACGUUUUACAGAUAGAUUGACAACAAGACUAAAUACUUGAUGGUGAAGUUAACAACUAUAAUGUGCAUCAGAUGAUGCCUAUGAGAUGGUAAACUUGUAGCAUAAUGUGGUCUGGGUCAUUAAAUUAUUGGCAUCAAACUAGAAUAGUGAUGUUGGUCACCAAGCUUGAUGCACUAUAAGUGGUGAUACCGUGAUACUAACACAAAACUAACUUCAAUGGUGGAUCAAGUGCAGGAACUAUAAAAAGAUUUGUGAAAAGCAUGCAGGACAACUUAUGUAUAUGUAUGGUAAAAUUAUAUGGUGUUCCAGGUUUUGGUUACAAUAUAGCAAAUAUCUAAACUUAUUUUCUUCCUCAAUCAUCCCUUUGGCUUUUGAUAGAAAAAGAUCCUCCUUUGUACUUUUAAUCAUUGCUCACUUUCAUAUUAGUAUCUCCAUCUUCCAUUCAUGCAUGUGUUUCAUUUACCUCAAAUUGAUAUAAUGAUGUAGGGAUGCAGCUUGAGGAACACAGAAUAUAUUGUUGGGGCUGUUAUAUUUACAGGGCAUGAGACAAAAGUGCGUUUUCUUACAAGCCCUAUAUUAAUUGACGGAUUCCAUUUAACUUCAUGGGCAUCCAUUUUUCUCUUCCUUGAUGCAUAUUCUUGUGUUUUCAUCUUUUCAUUAAUGGCUCUUUUCUUCAUUAUACUGCAGGUUAUGAUGAAUUCUAUGAAUGUUCCUUCUAAAAGAAGUACAUUGGAGAGGAAACUCGAUAAACUCAUACUUGCUCUUUUUGGUUGUCUCUUCAACAUGUGUCUCAUUGGAGCCAUUGGAAGGUCAAGUUAGUUUUACAUUUAAGCUGCUAUGUCAUUAUUUGCUCUUGAAUAAUAUACAUGAUAAAUAUCUUUUGUGCAAUGCUAAAAACCUCCUUGUUGGUUAUGGUCAUGCUCGUGGUAUAGUCAAAGUUUACUUGUAGGUCUACAAUCUUGGUAUCGGGUAUCUUACUAGUACUGUACUAGUUCGGUAUGAUAUGGUAAAUACCUCAUAGCGAAAUAGUUUUUUAGCCAUUUUUCUCACUUUUUAUCUCAGUAUACCUCGUUAUGGAUCGGUACAUUUCGGUAUGGAUUGGUACAUACCUCGGUACGCUAUGGUACACCGUGAUAUGGGGUAGCACACUUCAGCAUAGGAUGGUACAGGGGCUGUACCGACCUGAAUUUAAGUUUUGUACUAGUUCCCAUCCGUUACAGUAUGGUAUGGUACGCUUUGUACUGGGUGGUAUGGCAGAUCAUAAUUUGAACAGCUCAAAUAUCUAGAAUUUCGAUAUUUGUUUGUCAGUGUGGUCCUAAAUCACUAAUAACAAUUAGCACACUGUUGAGGAAGCUUGUAGUAACAAUUACUUUGUCCUAAUAUUCUUGUGAAUGAGUGCAGCUAACCCCACCCACCCCCACCCCCACCCCCACCCCCAACCCAGAAAAAAGAAAAACUUAUACUAUGCAUGCCAAUGUAUCAUAUGCUUCUAGAACCAAUGUGCGCACACACAAUAGCAAUGUAUCCAUCUUAUUUGACUAUUAUGAUUAUUAUCACUCAUUUUGUUUUCUUGAUUUUCUUUAGUGGGGUGUUCAUCAAUCGCAAGUACUAUUACCUAGGUUUUUUUGGAGAUGUGGAGCCUCAGUUCAACCCUGACAACAGAUUUGUGGUACUUUUUUGCUGAAAGAAUUGUGAUGUAAAAUUUAGUUGUAUACCAUCACUUACAUGCCUACUAUGCUUUUUUUUUUUCUGCUGAGAUGCCUAAUGUGCUUUUCAGGUCACUAUUUUGACAAUGUUUACCCUAAUAACAUUGUAUUCAACUAUCAUCCCCAUUUCUUUAUAUGUAUCCAUUGAGGUAAAGCCCAGAAAUUUUCUAGCCUAGAUGCUGCUAUGAAAUAUUUCACAUAUAAGCGAAGUUUCUUAUAUUAUCACCUUGUAUUCAGAUGAUCAAAUUUAUUCAGUCGACUCAAUUUAUCAACAAGGAUUUGAAUAUGUACCAUGCUGAAAGCAAUACCCCUGCAUUGGCACGGACGUCGAAUUUGAACGAGGAGCUUGGACAGGUACUUUAUUGUGUUAUCUUCCAUGUUGCAUAGGAUGAUUUUCAUAUUGUUCAUUACUGCAGUUUCUGCAAGGUUUUACGAUUUAGGUGAACCUGGACAAUGCUUAAAGAUUGGUGCUUAACAAUGGUUAAAGUGAUUGAUGGCUGCUGUCAUUCUUUUACAUUCCCUGUAACAUAUUAGGAUAGAAUAUGAUCAUAUAUACAGAUUUAUAUGGACUUUCCAUUUUGGGAUUGAAGCUUUGACAUUAUACUUAGAUUGAGAUGAAAUCUUUUGGCAUAUAUCAAGCACAUAUAUCAAGCACAUGUAUCAAGCACUUAUCAAGCAUUGAUUCUUCAAGAAAUACUUGCAUUCUAAUUACCUUGGAUGUGAAUUAUCUCUCUACCAAGGUUUGUCGUACCGGUUGGUACUAGUGCUUAUCGACCAUAACGUACUGUAUUGACCAUAACGUACCGUACCAGUAUGCGGUUCAGGGUUGUAUUGACACUCGGUACAUUAAAUCGGCCGCUGUUUCAUGCAUACCAAUACUGUAAUAGGAUGGUACCGAUAUUUGGAUUUGGUAUUGAGACGGCGAACCUUGAUCUCUACUAUUAUGAUUGAAACUCGUGGGUGUAGGACUCCGAAUCCAUUUGACUCCACUUUUGAUAUAUUUACAAAUUACCCAUGUAAAAGGUACUCCAGCCAAGAAUUAUUCUCCUCUCUCUCUCUCUCUCUCUCUCUCUCUCUCUNNNNNNNNNNNNNNNNNNNNUCCUCUCUCUCUCUCUCUCUCUCUCUCUCUCUGUGUAUAUACCUGUUUCAAUAAACAAGUUUGUCAGUUUUUUUCAUUCCUUUAUUGAAGGAACUUUUCCCUUUUUUCCCUAUCUUUAUCCCUUAGUUGUAAAAGUUCUUGCUCUGUUUUUUCCCACAUUUCCUUGUUCAUCCACAAACAAGGGACAUACAUGGGAUAUUCUAAAUACUAGCCUUGUUAAUUUCACUUUUCACUUAGUUUGUCUCAUAUGUCAAAUUAUUGAAUGAAAGAAUCAAAUUGGUACGCUAUGCAAUUUGCUAUGUAUCUACAUAUAUUGCAGAAUCUACUCUAUAUAGCAAUUAGCAUUUCAUAUUCUUUUAUUUGAGGCAGACAAAGGGAGGGAGACCCACCUGCACUUUAAUUACUUGGGCCUGAAUAGUUGGGGAUGCAUUAACCAAUAUUUGAACCCAGAACCUUUGGUUGCUAAGUAGAGGAGUGUGACUAUUGGGACAAGUCCAAAUUCAUCAUUUCAUGCCAUUUUCACCUGAGCUUAUAUUAUUAUACAGUCUCACUAUAGGGUCUCUGCCUCAGCCACAAAAUUCAUUUGAAUUCUUAAAAGGGAAAAGCAUUAUUCUUGAACAAGUUAUUUUUUGGUUCAGAGACUGACAUAAGGAUGAAAAACCAUGAUAUGGCUAAAGCUUAUCGAAAUAUUUAUAGAAUUCCAAAUAAAAAAUAUAAUAAUUAUCUGUGGCAUUCGUCAACAGUUGCCACAUCAUCUGACUUGCUUUACUUUUUGUCAUUAUUAAAGUUGGCUUUUACCAUGCAAAACAUUGAAGUUGGAAAUUUUUCUUUCUGCAGGUAGAGUAUAUAUUUUCUGAUAAAACAGGAACAUUGACAAGAAACUUGAUGGAGUUUUUUAAAUGUUCAAUUGGUGGAGAGAUAUAUGGCACUGGUAUUACUGAAAUAGAAAGAGGAAGAGCAGAACGGAGUGGACUAAAAAUUGAUGAGGUAUACUUGAUACAAUGUCCAUGAGAAGUGCUGGUAGAAUUAACUUAGAAAACCAAUAUGUUUGCAUCUAUAAUUUUAGCUUAAGUUAAAACUAUUAUUUCUUUGAACUUAUUUCUUGUAGGUUAGAAGUCCAACCACAGCAGUGCAUGAAAAAGGUUUCAACUUUGAUGAUCCUAGGAUUAUGCAUGGUGCUUGGAAAAAUGAGCAUGAUCCGGAGAUUUGCAAGGUAGACUAACUUAAUGUAUCUUAAUCUAAAAAGUGUUCUUUUAAAGCUUUCUGUUUGUUAUAUUUUAAAUCAUGUACCUUUAGGUAUUAUAUUUGCUUUCCCUCUAAGAUAUUUUUGUGACAUACCAUUUGUGGCAAGAAUCUUCUACUUAGGGUGCCAACACCUGUUUUGGAGUCUCCAUGGAAACUUGUUUCCACAACUAUUUAUUAAAAAUAUUUAAGAGAUCUGUUUCCCUGCGUCAAAACCUGAAUUUGCUCCUACACCUGGAUCCACUUUUGGUAACGACAUACCUAAAAUUCAGAAUAUUCAAACUUCAACAUAGUUGGAUGUUAAGGGCUUUAUUUACUGUUGAAUUUUUUAUUUUUUUUACUUUAUGAUAAGCAACAUUUUUUUCAAUUAUACAUUCAUGAGACACACACAGUUAUUAAUCAUAAGGGAAAGUAUCUUUUUAAUAUAUAUAUAACAACCAUUUUCUUGGGAUCAUGCUUCAUUUAAAAUGCGAAGAAGGUAUUCAGUUGGGGCAUGAGCAGGAAAAGGGCCUCUAUUUAGUGCUAUUUGCUCUCUUCUUCUUCUCCUUCUUCUUUUCCUUGUGAGGCAGUCUUAUUAAUAUAUAUUGAUUUAAGGGUUAAUAUAUAAAUAUCUUUAGCAUAUGAUACAAAUUAUUAAUCAUGUUUUCUCUUCAGUGAUUUUGUUCCAUGUUUUGUGUGGUCACAACUUAAUCCACAUGAGUGUAGUGGUAGCCAACUGAUUAGUAGGCUUUGCUUGUUCGUUUUUGCUUAUGGGAUAAACCAUGGUCUGCCGAGCCAGUCCGUACCGGCAAGUUCAGGCCGUAUCGGACCGGUCCGGCCUGGAACCGGUACCCGGACAGUGUGGAAACCGGUUCCAGCUAUUCUUGGGCCGGUACCGACCGGUAUGCAUGCGUAUUGGUCGUGUACUGGCUGGUACUAGUGCGAACUGGCCGGUUCACAUCGGUACGUAAAUAUUAUUUUCGUGCGUUGUGGUGGGAAAGCGCAUGGCCCUUUCAGCCAUGUGCUUCUCGGGCAGAGCGCCCCAUGCAUGGGGCUAUGCGCGGGCGCGCGAUUCCCCGCUUCAUGCAAUUCCGUGCGCUGGGGAACUGCGCCCGCGUGUGGUUCCCCGUGUUGCAAACUGCCAUGCGGGCGAUUCCCCUGCCCACGCGGGGCAACGCGCCCCCGUGGUCUCAUUAAUGCCACAGAGCGGCAUUUAAUGCCACUAAAUGCCACCGCGUGGGCUCAUUAAUGCCACAGUGGCAUUUAAUGCCACUAAAUGCCACUCUGUGGCAUUUAUCUCGCCCCAAAAAAAAGCUUUCUACGCGCAUCCGUGCACGGACAUGAACCAAAAAAAACAUAAAAACAGUAGUUCGGUUCGUAUCGGACCGGUUUUGGUUCCGGUACGAACCGAACCAUACUGGUCCGGUAGGCGGCCUGUACGCCUACCGGUACCGGUACGGCGGACCUGAUAAACUAUGUAGUAGUUAUUUAGCUUGUAUUUGUGCCCGCUGGAGGAGGCAUGAGGAAUAGCUGGAUAUCUCAUUCUAGGGCAUUAUAUUGGAAUGCUUAAUGCAAAGCGGACUUUUUUUAUUUCUUAUAAUGAACUCUUAUUUAUAUCUAAGAUCAGGUUCAAAAUAGGAGCGAUUCCUUCGCUUGUCUUGAUAGAGAUGUAAGGCUAAUAAGUUCCAUAUUAGUUUGGUUCACAUAUUAUGCAGCGGGAGGACUGAGUUGUGGAAAAUUUUCUGAUAAAGUGAUGUUUUUCUAGGCAACAAACUACUCUUAAAUCCAUGUGAUAUAGAUUUUGGACAAUAGUUAAGGAUUUUUGUGGAGGCAAAAGGAGUAUUAUAGGGCAGUUUCCUUGCUCCUCUCAAUGCUUUUCUAAAUAAGGAACUGGGGUGUCUUGAGGUUUAAAUUAGGGUGCUAGAGUUAAGUUUUGUGCUGCUAGGUAAGUAUCUUGUUUGAGUCACAGGAUGGACGAUUAAGGAAGUUUUUGUGACUGAGCUUAGGUUGGAAUAAGAACUUGAAAAGCUGUUUAAAAUUUUGCUUGUCUGGUAUAAGGUGCACUAGUAAUUAAGAAUAAGAGGAGAUAAAGAUGAGAAGAAAAAUAUUUUCAAAGUAACUAUUUUGUUCUCAUUUUAAAUUGUGCUAGCUACCCCAGUCAAACACUCCCUUGAAAUAUGCCUCUCAGUUUGCCAAUCUGAGUUCAUGACAUUUCUUAUGAUAUUAAACAAAGUGAUGAAAAUGAAGGCUUGGGACAUGCUAUAUAUCUCUCUCAUUCUGCAAAACUGUCAUGAGGUAUAGCAUAAUGCAGAAAACUAAAAAAUAGGGUCUGGUUGGUUUCUUAAAUUUUCCCCAAUACAGCUGAUCAAGUCAACUUCGCUUCCCUUGUGUACGCUAGAUUGUGCUUAGGAUUGUCAUCGUAGUCACCAUAUUUGAACUCCAAUAUUUUAUAAUAGAGACCAUUGUGGAUUCUUCACAUGAUAAGUCCUUUAGAUCUUGGUUCUUAUCAGCCUCGUUCUGUAGCUUCCAUUUUACUCCAUCAUAUGCGACAAGUAUAUUGAUGAUUCCAUCACAUAGAAGAUGAAUCAAUUGUGGAAUGCUGGCACAUCGUCAUGAGUCAUUAUUCCACAUUUGGUUCAAAAAUCUCUUCAUCCUUCUCACAAAAUCCUUGGAUUUGCCAGUUGAUCUGCUCAAAUAUUGCAAGUAGAUAGCGAAAUCUCUGUAAUAGAAGUAGUAGAAAUGUUAUGCUCUACCUAAUGUUUGUAGUGGAAUAAAUAUCUUUAAGGGGUGUUAUCUUGUCAAGUUUCUUGUGUCAUGUCACAAGUGUAUUUCACUUGGAUAGCCUGGAACCAUUUUGAAUUUGAUUCUGUAGACCAUUUAGGACCACAUAUGAAAUUCAAAUUAGUAAUACAUGCCUUUGCUACCCUUUGCUAAUGUUUAUGAUACACUUACUAUGAACUAACGUAACACUAGUAGUUGGAAUAUGAAAUUUGAUGAAGAAUUCUGGAUUCUAUUUUUGCGUAAUUCAUGUGUUAAUAUAGCUGCAUCAUUAGAAUUUGAUUUAUCAUCAAGUACUUCGGAGCAAUUUUUCUAGAAAUCUGUGUUUGGGAUUUAUCUUUAGAUAUUUGAACCUUUUUUUCAACAAAAUUAGUAGAUAGACACGUGACAUGCAUGUCAAAAACAAACUUGAUCAGUUAUCAUAGAUUACUAGUUAUGUAUAAAUGCUAUAACAGUUAAAUCAAUUAUUCUUUAAAUUUUGAAGAAUUUUUGCUGGCAUAUCCCAAAGAGAGUUGUGCCUUUUUUGGUAGUAUGGUAAUAUUCAUUUUUAUCUAAUAUUGUAUUAAAAAGGAGAGUAUUGGAUUUUUGAAUCUUCCUUCUAGAUUCCAUCUAUCAUUUUUUGCCGAAUAUCCUUGACCUUACCUGUAUCGCCAUUUUUCUUUAUUUGCGAUUAGAGUGUCUAAUGGCAAAAAAGAAAAAAACUAGUUGAUCAUUGAUUCUAUUUCAUUUUCUGAAGUUAUAUUUAGCUAACUUCUAAAGUGACUUUGAAGUCCUAUUUUGAGAAGAUUGGUGGGAAAAAUGCCCUUUACAUAUAUUUGUUAGGUUAAGUAAGAACAUUGUAAUUUGAUAUCUUGUUGUUUUAGGUGUCUGUCUAGCGGAUGCAAGAUUCAGAAUUUUGCAUUUUUAGGAAAGAUUUUUAGAUGCCAGCAUAGAGAUUGGCAGUUUUUGAGGACGAAGGAGGUCUUGAGCCCAAGAUUUGAUACCUAGUAGUUAAGGCCCUAGCUUGCUUGUAGAGAAGUCAUGAAGAAAAAGGGCCUACUUAUGGCUGCAUGAAUUCAUUGUAUGUGGUUUGUUUUGAAAGAAAAAGAAGGAUUUCCUUCAUUCCUAUUCAGUCCUUAUCUUCCCCUCCCUCUCCCUCUUUCCUCCCUCUUUAUCUUUCCCUUUGCCUUCCUGUUCUCUUUUCUCUUAUCUUUGAUAUGUAGUAAUGUUGUCUCUGUUUCUGCUCUUCUAAGCUUACUUUGCUCAUGCUUCUUACAUAAAUAUAAAAUCUGUAGUAUAAAAUUCUGUAAUAGGACUACGAGUGCCUAUCUUAAAUUUUCAUUAAUACCAUUUUAUAUUUUAAUACAAUUCAAUAGACAAAUGCAUACUAAAUAUAAUCCAUAGUUGUCUAAAAUAAUAUUUUACUUUCUACAACAAUCAUUUGGACUAACUGUUUUUUACUUACUCUUUUGAUUUUAUCAAGCUCCCAUCUACAUAAAUUUCAUAUGCAAGGAUAAAAAAUAACUAUUACCAUUAAUUUUAAUUGUGUAGUGUUAACUGAGGGCCCACUUGCUUUUGCUCUUGUUUUCUGUUUUUAUUUAUAAAAACUCCAGAAGAAAAAUGAACUAGACUGACCAAAUGUAUGUUGAAAUCCAAGGUUUCGGAUCUCAUGGUACAGGAGCUUACUAUACACCCCAUGUAUUGUCUUGUCCUGGCACUUGGAUGAUUAAAGCCCCAAAUACGCCACCUGAUCCACACUGUUUAGUGUUGGAUCAGUGUGUGCUCGAGUUCUCAAUAUGAGGAAGGGGGGGGGGGGGCCAAGGAACCCUAUCUUGGUGGCGCCCCAUCUUACAUGUGCAAGUGAAGGGCUACCGCUUGUAACCCUCUCUCUCUUCCUAUGUGUGCGCGCAUGCGUCUGUGCACACCUGCACCCCGCUGGGUUGUUGCUUUCCCUUGCUCAGUCCUGAUUCAGGGAGCUACCGCCAAGGCUGCUGCCCCUCCUUUGCCCCAAUCAAGAUCUCAUGCUAUGAAAAUCACUCCAGAAAGGGGGAUUAAUUUUAAGAGAUAAUUUCAGUGGCAAUCAAACAAUAAAGUAAAUAAUUGGGCUUACUGUAUUUGGAAGACUGGCAAACUACUUUGUGGAUCUCUGUUCUCUAAUAUUUUGUGUGCUCUCCAUAAUUGCAAAAUCAUCUAAUGUUUCCAGUCCAGUUUUCUCUCAUGUUUUGUUACUUUUCUUAUUAUAAUUCUGGUCAUUUGGUAUUCAAUUCAUACAAUCAUGCUGUUCUCAGUUCAAAUACAAUUUUCUGUGUAGGAAUUCUUCAGAUGUCUUGCACUAUGUCAUACUGUUCUUCCAGAAGGUGACGAAUCUCCAGAAAAGAUUACAUAUCAAGCUGCAUCACCGGAUGAGGCUGCUCUAGUAACUGCAGCAAAAAAAUUUGGGUUCUUUUUUUAUAGGUAUGCUAAUAGAGUAUUAUUCUUUAGGUUUUUGUUGUAUGACAUCUUAUUUCAGAACUUCGCACGAAAGGAUUUUAUAUCUUAAGUUAAUAUUUUGAAUGACAUCUCCUCUUUAUUUUGAUCAAUGGUGUUAUCUUGACCCAAAUUUAUUUAAGUUGGCCAUCUAGAUGGUUCUAAUGAAAAUAUUAAUGUCUUAUUCCAAAAUGUAUUUCCAAGUGAUAUUUAUCAUUCAUUCAGUCUUCAUGCUGAUACAAGUCACAAAAAAAUAUAUCAGGGUCGGCGGAACUGUCCUGAACUGGGCGGUUCCAGUUGUACCGAGUCGUUAGGGUGGCCGAUCGGGACGGUGCCGGCAUCGGAAAUGAAACCCGUUGCCGUAGGGGAGAAGGAGAAGGAAAGAGAGGAAAAGAGAGCGAGCGGCGGAGGGAGGAAGAGGGAGGGAGGCCGGCGGAGGGCCGUCGGAGGCCAGUGCCUGGGCAGGAGGCUUAUUUCGAACGAAAUAGGGGACUCAGCCGUGGCCUCCGCCUCUUGCCCUCUGCUGGCCUUCGCUGGCCUCCCUCCCUCUCUCCCGCUUCUCUCUCUCUUUUUCCCUCUCUCCCAUUUGCCCUCUCCCCUGCCUCCUCUAUUGUGUUGGUACAAGCCCGGCCGACCCGUGCUUUCGGGCAACUGGUCAGGUGCUUGGUACGGUCAUAGCAGACCAUGAAAUGUAUACUUUUUGCUUCAAUUGGUACAUAUGGAAAUUGCUAUUCUUCUAGUCAACUUUUUGUCCUGUAUAGUAUCCACUUCGCAAUCAUAGGGAACUGAUGUAUGAUAACUUCAAAAGUAAUACAUAUUGACUAACAUGGAAGGUAAAGAUGAUAGCACGACACAUGUGAGAAGAAUAAUAACCCAAAACUGUGCCAUAUGCAGGAAACUGCAGUAUGUGGGAGGAAUCAAUACCAAGAUUAUUUACAUUUGAAAUUUUCUUGUCAUAUGAAUAACCCAAAUCUGAUAUAUGAUUGAGUUUCGCUUAUAUUUGUGCCGUACAAUUGAUCCUGGUCUUUUUACAUUUUUUCCUUCCUGAUGCAAUCAGGUAUAUUUGGUUCAAUUCUGAUUUUACUAAAUCCUUUUAUUGUUUUCUUUUUUCAUUUUUGAAAUACAAUGGGAACACAACCACCCAAGACCUUUCCCUAGAGGAGAGGGUGUCAACCAGCUGGACCAAGUCCUGUUGGCAAGUCCAUUUGCUAUUUGAUUUGAGUUUCGCUGUCAUUCAAAAUCCAUGGUCACUUUAUGAGUUUGGAUUUUGGACAUGAUAUGGGUACAAGUAGGCAAUGAUGCUGAUUUUCUGUUUUACUUUUUUUUGCUUUUAACCCAAUUGCACCCUUAAUCUAUGUUUUCUGGAAUAGAGCAAAGUUUUAAUGUAAAAAUAUUUGUUUCAAAUUUUAACAUAUAGGAGUGUGCUCUAUGUUAUAGCAGCUAUAGUGAUUCAAUGAUAAUAUUUUUGAAGCCAUGGUUCAUAUGCUUUUCCUAAUAAAUUGUAAGUCAAUUAAGUUUGAACUGCUAUAACAUCUCUUUAUUAUUGAUUGAGAAAUAUAUUAGCUCAAUCUAAAUUAUCUUGAAAAGUUCAUUAGCAUAGUCAUUAGAGUGACAUUAGUUUAAUCUAAUUAGAAAGUUCCAUGUGCAUGUGUAUGUGUAGUUUUGCUAGUAAGGGUAGAAGCACCAUUACAACUUGAAGCUUUGUCUCUCACCAGAUUUAUAGCAGAUGCAAUGAUUUCUUUCAAGGUGAAGAUAACCCAGAGAUGGUUAUUAUUACAACUUGUUGCCUAGCUGUCCUCGAAAAGACAACUUGUUUCCUUUAAGGCUUAGUUCACCAUGAUGAUGGUGACAUCUCAGGUUUUCUGUUAUGCAGCUAGGUAGGUGGGCAAUGCCUAGAUUUUUUUUUAUAUGAAAAAAGGAACUGAUAAUUGCUAACUGUUUUAGAUAUAUUUAUAAAUUAUAAAGUAACAUUUUGUUUACUUUUGAUUAAUAAAACUUGCGCUGCUGAUGGCUAGUGAGACCCAUGAAGUUGGAGAAAGGAAAAGCCAGAUUGCAAGAAGAAAGUGCAAAAAAUUACGUAAUUGAAAUGCUAAGAAAGUGAGCUAAGACCCUAGUUCCGUUCUCCAGUGAGUUGGAUAACCAAGAAAGCCAAAUGAUCUCUACUAGUCGAGAAAGUUCAAACCAUAGCAUCACUACCAGUAGGAAAUCCUACAAUCAUGAUAUAUGACAGAUUUAUUUUUAGUACUGGGGCCCUCAUCGAAUAAGGAGAGGCUGGUUGGUUUUAGACGGGAAAAGAAUCUGGCCCAGAAUUUUUUUGACCUAUCAAGAUCCUCCAUGUAACCAAGCUGUAGAAAAUUCACACAACUUGGGUUCUGGAAGAUCCACUGACUCAUUUAAUUAAAAAAACAUUAAUAUAUUUUAUCACUUAAUUUUUUUUCUUUUAAGGGUAUAGUCUAGUUUUACAAAUUUCAGUAUAUUUGAAAGUGCUAUUAAGUGUUGAUGAUUUCUCAUGGAAAUAUUUAGUUUAUCAUAUGUAUGAGAUUUUCUGAAAAUAUUUAGUUUAUUGAAAGUAGUAGAAAAUCUUUCUUAGAAAUUAGUAAUAGAAAAUUCUCGUUCUUAAACUAUAUAGAAGCAGCUUGAUUUCCCAUUUUUCAAUUCCAAAAAUAACCCUGAGCUAUCUUUUCUAAACAAGAAUUCUAAUAUAAUUGGACUUUGAAACUUUUUAAUUUAUGCAUAAUAGAGUCCCACGUCCUCAAUAGUCCAAACUCAAGAUAGUUGGUUAGUUGCAGCAAUAAUUUAAAUUCUAAUAUACAAAUAAUUUCAUGAAAUGAUAUUAGUGCAAAUAAAAUUUAUUUAGAUUAAAAUAUAAUAAAGCAAAUAACUGUUAAACAAUUUCAUAAAUAAAUCUUAAAUCUUAAGUUCUUCAUUAAUGGCCACGUGCAUCUACAUGUGUACUGUAAUUAGUCUUAUAAAUAAAUGAAGUGGAUGGAUCAAAAGAUGAUUGAAUUACUUUUGUACUAAAGUAACUGCUUUGACAAUUGCUUAGAUGCAUGGGUGGUUUACCGACUCAAUUACCUUACUCAACAUAGCCUAUCUAGUAUUGACCCAAUCUAGUGUCAUAGCUAAGGCAACCUUGCCUUGUUAGAACUCAAGCAAAGUGUGAAAAGGAAUUCUCUAGAUGUUUUACUUGGUGAACUUUCCCAUUUAACAUAUAUGAGCCCAAUCCCAUAAACCAAAAUAUUGAGGUUGACUGAUAGUCCUUUGCAUGGUCAACAUUACCUUUUUGUUCCAAACUAAGCUUUGUAAUUUGGAAAUCACAUGAGGUGCAAUACCAACAGACAGUACCUAACUAGUAUGGUACCUUGCCAUACCAACAAAAGUUAUGUCUCUAGGCGCCGGUAUAGCAAAAUAAGGUAAUGUACCAUUGAGGAUGGUAUGGUAUGAUAUUAAGGGGUGUACAGGUGGUACCUUAGUGAUAUAGUAUGGUACAAUGAGUAUAGACUGAGGAAUGCAUCAGUACCAAAAUCCUUAAUGUGGACAUAGCCAUCCAUGAUCAUGUGUUUCUCAAUGGCUCCUCUCUUCGAGUUGUCAAGCAUGUUAGGCUACAAAACGUAGUUGGUAUGAAGAAGCAAUUUGACGCCACAUUUCAUUACCAGCCUCCAGAACAAACAUUUGUAGUAUGCCAAAUAACAUACAGAACUUCUGCCGAAUGUUCUAACAAACAAGUGAAAGAAAAGCUUGAAGCAUUGUAUUGUAGGAAAGAUUAAAAGCAGUUUUACCUAGACACUCCAAAUUUUGGGUUUCGGUGUUUCAGACACUUGGACACUCUAGAUACUUGGGUCAAUUCAUGACACUCCUUUUGCCAUUAUCGAUGUAUCAUUAUGUGCCUACUUCGGCACUUCUCUAUGAAAGUUUUAUGUACCAUUAUCGAGUUGAACAUGACACUGAGCAACCAUUUUAUCAAGUUUUAUGAACUUAAGAAGCAAUGGUCUAGCUCAUAAUUCAUUAUGUGCAUACAUCAAUCCAUAUUUAUAGACAUGUAGAUAAUAUAGAUGUGUUCCCAUCUUCAAGUGUUUGAAGAACGCUGUGAUGGAUUCUUCUGGACACUUGGACGGUGGACACCUAUAUCAUGUGUCCAAGAACAUUAAUUAAAAGAGAGGCAAUUUUUCCCAAGACAUUGUUGUGCAUCUAACUAGAGAACUAACAGGCUGAAGAUUCUUGUUAAUCUAGAAAGGUUUUAUCUGUUUUAAAUUAACUGACAAAGAAUUUACGUAGAUCAUAUUGUCCCUAAGGUCUGCUUCUUGGAGAAUUUCAACAAAGUAUCACAACUUAGUAUUGUUAAAUGGUUACGGAGAUCUGAUUUUGAUCCAUUUCAAUUGUCUAUUUUCUGUCAGGCGGACACCAACUACGGUUGUGAUUCGUGAAUCACAUGUCGAGAAGAUGGGCAAAAUUCAAGAGGUUGCAUAUGAGAUUUUAAAUGUUCUAGAAUUUAAUAGGUGGGUGCUUUUAGUUAUAAUUUUCAUUCCAUAUGAAUUUUGGCUUCAUGGCCACUAUCAUUUACGUUCCCUUUAUGUGCUAAUAGCACAAGGAAGCGCCAAUCUGUGGUGUGUCGAUACCCAAAUGGAAGACUUGUUCUUUAUUGUAAGGUACAUUUCAAACUUGAAAAUUUGUUGUUUAUAUCUUAUUAAGUUGAAUUUAACUCAAAAGAAAAAAAAAUCCCAGGGUGCUGAUACCGUGAUAUAUGAAAGAUUGGGGGGUGGAAAUCAUGAUAUCAAAAGAUUAACCAGGGAGCAUUUAGAAGAGUUUGGAUCUGCUGGCUUGCGUACACUCUGUCUGGCCUACCGCGAACUAAGCACUGAUUCAUAUGAAAAAUGGAAUGAGAAAUUUAUUCAAGCCAAAUCUUCUUUACGAGAUCGUGAAAAAAAACUUGACGAGGUAAUGUCGGGUAACUAUUUUUUGUACAGUAUAUAUCUUUCUGCCUAUUAUUUGGAGUUAAAUUAUAUGCGUAAUAAGCUACCAGUUUAAGUUAUAUGCUUAAUAACUGAUUAGUUUAAAUACAGCAUACAGGUGCAUGCUUGACAUCUUAUUUUUUUAUUUGCAUUGAUGAUGCUAGGCAAAAAAAUUUCAAAAUGAUAUAGUAAAUAACAUGGUAGGUUGGGGGGUACCUUUUUAAGAAUCUUUCUCCAUGUUCUAUUCUCCUAGCAUUUCCCAUGAUCUUAAUGUUGUUUAUGUUUAUGAUAUUGUAGUGGAAGAAGCCUUCAUUUGUAUCAUCUUCUUUCUGAAGUUCAGAAGAGUUUAAAGAAACAGUUCUAUGUUAACGUUUAGUACUACUUGUGUGCAUUUUCUUUCUACAUACUUCUGAUACAUACUUUAAUACAUCUAAUAGAGUAUUUGAUAGUUUGCUUAAUUACUUCCAUUUGUUUACCAGAACAGACAGUAAGUACUAAUGCAUAUCUAGGAAUUCACUGUCUUAUUCCAGUUGAUGUCAUGACUUCUUUCUUAUGGUAAGGCGACGAAAGGAGUACACCUUCCUUGUAAUUUAAAACUUAUGUAUAUAUUGCUCCCAUGAGAGAAAUAACCAUGAGAUUUCAGUAAUUCAACUCAUAAUUAGAAUAUAAAUCAUCGGGUCCUUAUUUAUAACUUAAAUGCCUACCUAAAUAUCUAUCUUUUAUUUGAGACAAAUUUUUAAGUCUUCCUCAACAAAAGAUAACCAAAGAUUUUCUGAAAUAGUGAAAACCUUGAUUAGCAUGGAAGCCUAUACUGAAAGUCAGCAAAAUUAUUUUAUGCACUUCUAAUGACCAUGAAACUUCUGUAAGCCAUCCUAUACUAGUCAGUAAAUCUACUAAAAAUAAAACAUAAAAAAGCCAAAAAAUAUGCUUUCAUGAAAACUACAAGGUAAAAAUAAAACCUUGUAUUAAAAUACUUAAAUUUAUAGAUGACUUAGACUCGAUAAUCAGCUCCCUACAGCUAAAAGCUAUUAGAAGUAGAAGAUAAUUACCCAUAACGAUGAUCCGGGGUCUUUGGAGGAGCAAACUGGUGAUAAUCUUAACCUUUGGCCUUUUUUUUCUUCGCACAGUGGCUGCCCCAGGUCUCAAACAUGCACCAUUGCGCAUGUCAGCCCAAGCCUAAGAUAAUUAAUUUUCUAAAAUAAAUUAUAUCAACCUAAUCAAAAGUCAGUCUAGAAUAUGUUCAAGUGUGUACUUCUUUGAUCCUUCAGUGACCCUGCAAUUCCUGUCAUCAUAGAUAUCUGGCACAUAAACUUAAGAUGGGAAAUUAGUACCAGAAUUCCUCUAAUAUUGGCUUACGUCCUCAAUCUCCUUAUCAUGGAACUCUCUUAUUCCUGUAAAAGAAAAAAAAAUGUUCCAACCUGGUCGCAUAUUGGUAUUGGGGACCAAAUUAAUGGGAAUUUUUUCCAGGGUUUGAAAUGACUUCAGUUCUUGACAUUCUUCUCCUAGACAAGUUGCCAUGCUGAUUUGCCUCAAAACUGUGCAAAGUUUUGAAGAUAUCUAGCAUCAAUGCAUCAUACAUCUACAUUAGAUAGAAUUUGGGUGGCAUCAAUUCUUGUUUUCCACUUGGACAUUUUAACUGUUUGGUGAGAACCACCCAACCAUAUCUCAGUAAUAUCAUCAAAAGCCAAAGUUAAUAUGAAGGAAACAUACCACUCAUGUACCGGCCCGUACCGGCCGGUAUGUACCGGUCCGGCCUGGGACCGGUACCGGAUCAGCGUGAAAUCCGGUAUCGGUAAUUUAUUGUUGAAGAACCGGUACGGGACCGGUAUGGAACCGGUUCGGACCGGUACGGGACCGGUUCGCCACGGGUACGGACCGGUACGCCACCGGUAUGGGAUCAGUUUCAUACCAGUCCGGGAUGCUACCAGUACGCCGACCGGUACCGGUACGGCGGACCUUGAUACCACUAAUAUCUCUCUCAAAUACACUUCUUUGCUUCUUUAGUUGUAUGCUUAAAUUUUGUAGAGAAUCUCUACAUACAAGCGACACUGUGGUUGCAGUUGGCUAAUAAAUCUUUUACUAAGAAUAGGAACCUAGCAUCCGAAAUACUCAAUUAUUUUCUCUAAUAUCAGUUUCCCUUCUAAUUUUAGAAUGGGCAGUAGUGUGUGAUUCUAUGAGCCAUUUUUCCCCCCCUCAUUCUUUGGUUAUUUUACAGCUUCCUGUCUAGCAUUAGCUGCGGGAAGCUAGGAAGUCGUGCCUAGGUUUCCCAUCCCCACUUCCCACACCAUGGUGACGGGCAUAUUCAGUUUCUAGUUGAUUUUUUUUCAUUUUCAUGUAUAGUCCUCGUACAGUGAUCCAAUUCCCUUCUGCCUCUCUCUGCCUUUUUCCUUGCACCUAGCUGGUGCCCUUCCGACUUCCUGCCUCUCUCUCUCUCUCUCUCUCUCUCUCUUCNNNNNNNNNNNNNNNNNNNNNNNNNNNNNNNNNNNNNNNNNNNNNNNNNNNNNNNNNNNNNNNNNNNNNNNNNNNNNNNNNNNNNNNNNNNNNNNNNNNNNNNNNNNNNNNNNNNNNNNNNNNNNNNNNNNNNNNNNNNNNNNNNNNNNNNNNNNNNNNNNNNNNNNNNNNNNNNNNNNNNNNNNNNNNNNNNNNNNNNNNNNNNNNNNNNNNNNNNNNNNNNNNNNNNNNNNNNNNNNNNNNNNNNNNNNNNNNNNNNNNNNNNNNNNNNNNNNNNNNNNNNNNNNNNNNNNNNNNNNNNNNNNNNNNNNNNNNNNNNNNNNNNNNNNNNNNNNNNNNNNNNNNNNNNNNNNNNNNNNNNNNNNNNNNNNNNNNNNNNNNNNNNNNNNNNNNNNNNNNNNNNNNNNNNNNNNNNNNNNNNNNNNNNNNNNNNNNNNNNNNNNNNNNNNNNNNNNNNNNNNNNNNNNNNNNNNNNNNNNNNNNNNNNNNNNNNNNNNNNNNNNNNNNNNNNNNNNNNNNNNNNNNNNNNNNNNNNNNNNNNNNNNNNNNNNNNNNNNNNNNNNNNNNNNNNNNNNNNNNNNNNNNNNNNNNNNNNNNNNNNNNNNNNNNNNNNNNNNNNNNNNNNNNNNNNNNNNNNNNNNNNNNNNNNNNNNNNNNNNNNNNNNNNNNNNNNNNNNNNNNNNNNNNNNNNNNNNNNNNNNNNNNNNNNNNNNNNNNNNNNNNNNNNNNNNNNNNNNNNNNNNNNNNNNNNNNNNNNNNNNNNNNNNNNNNNNNNNNNNNNNNNNNNNNNNNNNNNNNNNNNNNNNNNNNNNNNNNNNNNNNNNNNNNNNNNNNNNNNNNNNNNNNNNNNNNNNNNNNNNNNNNNNNNNNNNNNNNNNNNNNNNNNNNNNNNNNNNNNNNNNNNNNNNNNNNNNNNNNNNNNNNNNNNNNNNNNNNNNNNNNNNNNNNNNNNNNNNNNNNNNNNNNNNNNNNNNNNNNNNNNNNNNNNNNNNNNNNNNNNNNNNNNNNNNNNNNNNNNNNNNNNNNNNNNNNNNNNNNNNNNNNNNNNNNNNNNNNNNNNNNNNNNNNNNNNNNNNNNNNNNNNNNNNNNNNNNNNNNNNNNNNNNNNNNNNNNNNNNNNNNNNNNNNNNNNNNNNNNNNNNNNNNNNNNNNNNNNNNNNNNNNNNNNNNNNNNNNNNNNNNNNNNNNNNNNNNNNNNNNNNNNNNNNNNNNNNNNNNNNNNNNNNNNNNNNNNNNNNNNNNNNNNNNNNNNNNNNNNNNNNNNNNNNNNNNNNNNNNNNNNNNNNNNNNNNNNNNNNNNNNNNNNNNNNNNNNNNNNNNNNNNNNNNNNNNNNNNNNNNNNNNNNNNNNNNNNNNNNNNNNNNNNNNNNNNNNNNNNNNNNNNNNNNNNNNNNNNNNNNNNNNNNNNNNNNNNNNNNNNNNNNNNNNNNNNNNNNNNNNNNNNNNNNNNNNNNNNNNNNNNNNNNNNNNNNNNNNNNNNNNNNNNNNNNNNNNNNNNNNNNNNNNNNNNNNNNNNNNNNNNNNNNNNNNNNNNNNNNNNNNNNNNNNNNNNNNNNNNNNNNNNNNNNNNNNNNNNNNNNNNNNNNNCCUUCUCAUGGCCCGAUGCUCUGGUUGGCAUGACUACUUUGGCCUUCGGUUGGCACAUGGUUGUUGCUCUUGCGGCAUGGCUUGCGGGGGUCCUCAAUACCAAGACGCGCCUAUGCACGUCAACAAAACCAGCCGCAGCGCGCAGGACCAACCCGCGCGUCAGAAUUCGCCCCAUCAACACAACAGGUGCCAACCGAGCAAGACAGAGGCCGAGCGCGCUAUACACAAGUGUUUACGCGCCCGUCUAGCUGCGCGCACCAGCCAAACAAGGCAAUGACCGAGCGCACAAUUUACAAGCUUCUGCACAUCUGUCCAGCCGUGCGCUCUUGUCUGAGCGCGUAACCCACAAGCUUCUGCGCGCCCGCCCAGCUGCAUGCGCCAGUCAAACAAGGCAAUGGCCGAGCAUGCAACCCACAAAGCUUCUACGCGCUCAACCAGCCGCUCUUGUCCGACCCCAAUAGGGCAUUCCUUUCUUACUCCCCCAGCGGGGCAUCCGACCAAAGUUCACCACAAGGGUUCUAAAGUACUGAGGAGCAUUGCAAAUAGAUCUGGCCCGAGCCAGAUUGCUUUGUGGCCUUGGCCAUGCGCGGGCGCCUGUGGCCGUACAUGGGCGCGCCGCAGCAGCGGCUUCCUACUAACCCAGCAGGGCAUCCACCCAAAGCCCACUCCGGGGGUUCCAAAGUCUGAGGAGUAUUGCAAAUGGAUCUGGCCGAGCCGUAGCCUUGGCCGUGCGUGCGUGCGCUGGCACGGAAGAUGCGCCGCAGCAGCGGCCCCCUACUAUACCAACAGGGCAUCCACCCAAAUCCCACCUCGGGGAUUCCAAAAGAUCGAGAAGCAUUGCAAGAACCUCGCCUGGGUGCGCUCCCAGUUUUCCAGGAUGCGCGGCCCGGUCAGCCGGAUCCUGCGAGCCAACUGCAGCUAACCUCACCAACUGCAGCCAACCACAGCCAAGGAAAACUGCAUCCCAGCAACCGUAUCCAACAUUGCAAUCUAUAAAUAAUUUUGAAAGGCAGAAGUGUGGGGCAUCCAGAUUGUGAAGAAAUCUCUGGAGAGUCUACUUGUAAGAUUCGGCCUUAGGGCUUUUGGGUUAGGGAGAACCACAAGUUCGUCUACCUUUGCUAGAUUGGGCUAUUAGGGAUUCCUUCUGAAUUCUUGAUAGAUUGGGCUAGUGCGGAACCUUGUAAUGCCCCACUAGAUUUAUUCGUCUGCACUUGUACUUUGUAUUCCUCGUUUUAGUUCAAAUGAAUAGCUUCUGUGCAAUCAAUUUCCACCCAUCCAAGUGUGUGUUCUAACCAAUUUAGGCGUAAAAAUUUGCUGCCACUUCCAAUUUCUACGGGCAAAACCUUGGAGCUUACUUUCCUAUCAGUCCACGGCAGCAUUGCCACCCGGCAAGAAGCCAAGAGGCAACGGAAGGCAAUGGUGUGGGGCUUGGGGACCGAGUGCCCUCAUCAGUCUCCUCAAUAAUGUGCCUUCUAUCUGGACCUCUUACUGGAGAGGUUCAUUCAUCUGCGGUGUUACGUUCACACGACUUGAGUUUGUUCAGAAGUUAAAAAUGUCCAACACUUCACCGAAAGUGCCUCUUAUGCCUUUGAUAUCCUGUAGAAAUGUCUUUUUUCCUACAAAUCAUGGUCAGUUGUGAGUCGUGACAUCGAGAUUGAAAAUGAAUAUGUAGCCUGAGGUGGUUUUUGGAGGAGCAGAUCAUUUUCAAUACCAAAUGAAAAUAUGAGAUCUAGUAGCAAAUUAUAUCGCUGAUGUUGAGAAUUCCUUAGGACCCUUUGCUGUCAUUUGUUUUGGGUUCUUCAACUUCUGUUAGAUGGGUAGGAAUUUUUUGUUUCUUUGUCUUUUGGAUUUGAUUAUUGGAGUGUUUGAAUUUCUGUUUUACUAGGUUUCUUUUGGCUGCUUUGAAAAUUUGCUUUUUUCUGUUUCCGGUCUUGUUUUUCUUUAAUGGGUGAUAUGAAUUUGCAUGUUUAGCUGUUACCUGCGGGUCUGAAAUAGAGGCAAAGACAAGGGCUAAGGGGAUAAGGAGGGGAAAGAAGAGGAGGAAGAUCAGAAAUACAGGUAGGAUGUAGAGAGGAGGGAGAAGGGAGCAGUUUGAGAAACAUAAGAUAGAAUAUGGUAAAGCUAUAGAAGUGGUAUAGUUUUGAAGAGCAAAUUUGGAACCUAAAACUUUUUUUUUUUAAACUGACCUGAGAGUCCCAUUCAGUGCUAGUUCCCUGUUCCAUAUGACUGCACUGGCUUAUGUAGUGGCAUCAGAAGACUAUAGACUUGGUUCCUAUCAACGAAUGCUAUCUCGGUAUCGGGCUCCAUAUCAGUGCCACUCUAUUAUUGUGUUGGUACGCUCGAUACGGGAGCCAGUUCGGUGUUCCGAGUAUUGGCACGCCCCCUAUACUACACACCAGUAUUGGACCGGUACGGUACGUUUCGUACUGUCCUGAUACAGUACAGUAUGGCAUAUCUUGGUGCUUACCUUCCUCAACAAUACAAUAGCUAAUCCUGUAGGUUUUUCAAACCAUAAAGAAUGAAUAAAAUUGUUUGCUUGCAUGAAUUUGACCUCGAAAUAGAAAUUGUGGAAUGAAUGGAGACCCAAAAAUGAAAAUUUGUCUCCAUAGGUUUAGAUCUUCCAGCUUCGUUAAGGAAAUCAAUCAUUCAAUGGUUGGUUCUAGAAAAAAUCCAGUACUGGUGUUUACUGGGACAUGAUUUUGGAGAUAAGAGGAACCUAAGGGGCUUUUAGUUGUCUAUAAGUUUUCUAAAGCAGAUAAUCAUAGAAUAUGGUCCUCUAUAAACAUGUUUAAUAAAAAUAGGGCGAACCGGUUUUUCAUGAAACUUAUUUUUUCAGGUUUUGUAAAACUCAUUCAUUUUGAAUUUUUUAUUAAAAGAAAAAACUUCGACCAAACAGCUCUUAGAUGUUUUAAGGGAUCGAACCAGUUGGGAUGCUAGUUUGUAUAUUUUAAGAUUGGCAUUUCCUUAUGCAAUGAUAAAUCUGUUCAUGCUAAUAUACAGACUAAGUUGUUUCGGAGCUGUCAAAAAAUAAGCUCACUUCUCAAAUAAUCAUGAGAUCGCUCUUUCCAGAAAUUAUUAUAGACAAGACAACUAUAUAUUUCCUUUCUUCUUGAGAUGGAAAAUUUUCACUGGAGGAAACCCUUUCUAUCAUGGAAUGCCGUACNNNNNNNNNNNNNNNNNNNNNNNNNNNNNNNNNNNNNNNNNNNNNNNNNNNNNNNNNNNNNNNNNNNNNNNNNNNNNNNNNNNNNNNNNNNNNNNNNNNNNNNNNNNNNNNNNNNNNNNNNNNNNNNNNNNNNNNNNNNNNNNNNNNNNNNNNNNNNNNNNNNNNNNNNNNNNNNNNNNNNNNNNNNNNNNNNNNNNNNNNNNNNNNNNNNNNNNNNNNNNNNNNNNNNNNAGAACCACAGCGCCGCGCGCUGUGGUUUUUGAAACCACCGAGUACCGGCCGGUACGGGACCGGUACCGGCCGGUACGGACCGGACCGGACCGGUACCGUACCGGUCCGGCCGGCCACCGGUACGCCGACCGGUACCGGUACGGCGGACCUUGCUUUCUAUUAAGUAGGAAAAAGUUAAAUUUGAAGGAUCUGAUGGAUGAUCUUUUCAACAAGAUAUGAAAGGUAUUCUAGUGCAAAGGAUUUGGAUCAAACCAUGCCUUUUGUGUCUAGAUUACUGUCACAAAUAUCAUUUGGCAGCUUACAGGAAGCAGUUGUGAUUCAUGUGUGCAAGUACUUGUCGUUUGGGACAAGUAUUUUGGAUGUUUUACCAUGUUUUUGGAUCUAGUUACCAGCACUAAUGUCUGCACAUGAAUGUUCUUAUGAGGCUAGUUUGUAGGUCAUAAGACUAAUUAGAUGAUCUCUUGACAUUAUUUCUUGCAGGUGGCAGAGCUAAUUGAAAAGGAUCUGGUGCUAAUAGGUUGCACUGCUAUUGAAGAUAAACUUCAAGAAGGGGUGCCAUCUUGUAUAGAAACUCUAUCUAGAGCUGGGAUAAAGAUUUGGGUGCUAACAGGGGAUAAAAUUGAAACUGCAAUAAAUAUAGCUUAUGGUAAGAUAAACGUUUUAGAUCUUACAGGUUGUGAUCUUUGCAUUAUGAUCUUCUGUAGAAAAAGUAUUUGGAAAGUGCCAACAAUAUGGUAUGGUUUGUAAUUGUUAGUAGAGGAAUGAAAUUCUGUCCCAUCACUUGGUCUUUUUUUUUCUAAAGAAACUUUGAGUUUACUAGAUCUUUCCUUCUUUGCAGCAUGCAACUUGAUCAAUAAUGACAUGAAGCAAUUCACCAUCAGUUCAGAAACUGAUGCAAUUAGAGAGGCUGAAGAUAGGGUAAGAUUAACCCAUACUGCUAUAUUAUGCGUAAAGUUCGCAUCCAUGCUAUUUUGAAGUUUGUGCAUUAUUUUUAUGAAAAACAUUUACGAGACAGUUCUAAACCUAUGGUCAGACUAUUCCUGAACCAGCUAGUAUGAAUCUGUUAUUCUUAAUUUGUUGGAGUUCAUCAUUACUUUCAUCCCUCUUGCAUAUCCUCUUCUCUCUCUCACUCUCUCUUCUGCUAACCAUUUGCUUUCAUUUCCAUUCUGUUCAUUUUUCUUUUUCCUUGGACCAUAUGUAGCACAACUUUAUGUAUGCUUAAUUAAGUUCAAUGUAAUAACAUUUAAAAAUUUUCAGUUGUUGAAUUCUGUAUAACAUACUUUCAGGGGGACCCUGUAGAAAUUGCACGUGUUAUUAGAGACUCAGUAAAACAGGCUCUGAAACGAUGCCUCGAGGAAGCUCAGGAAUACUUGCAUGCUAUAUCAGGAACAAAGUUGGCCCUUAUAAUUGAUGGCAAAUGUUUGAUGUAUGCACUGGACCCAAAUUUACGUGUGAAUCUGCUCAACUUGAGCUUGAAUUGUAGUUCUGUAGUUUGUUGUCGUGUUUCUCCGCUACAAAAGGCACAGGUAAAGUUUGUCCUUGCUAUGCUUGAGUGACUGUAAUUAAUUUCACAGAUUAUGGUCCUUGUAUACAUGCACUUAUGCAUGCACAAAUGGUUUACAAAAUUGAGGUUUUCUUUUUGGUAGUUUUGUGUUGAUAGUUGAGAACUUGAGAUUUUUGAGGAAUGAUACAUAUUUUACAUAAUCAGCAUGAUAACAUGCAUAAUAUUGAGCCAUGUUUGAAAGAACUUGCAUGUGCUUUGAAGAUGACUUAUUUCUUAAGAUAGUUGGUAUGAUUUAUCUCAUACGCAAACAAGGAAUGUCAUCGUCUAGCAAAUACUAAGAUUUCCAGGAUGCUAAUAUCUAUUUCAUAGACAUAACAUGUAAUCCACUACUAUGAAACAGAGUUGGUGGUCACUUUUUGGAUAUUUCAUAUGGUUAAUUUUUGAACAUCAGUUUGUCUCUCUCCUUUUUUGUUUUCCAAUUUUACAUUUUUAGGUUUGAAGCUACAUGAAUCUGAAAAAAGAUCAUAUAUUUCAAUACUCUACUUUCGUUGCAGACUUUUUUUCAAUCUUUUAAAUGAUUUAUUGGAUUUGCCUUCUCUUUUCUACUUGUUUGAUGUUUUCCUGUGUAUGACUUUGCCACCAGUUCCAAUGGCUCUUGUAGCUCUUUUUAUAUGCGCUUCUCUUUCGUCUAGUUAAACCAAUAUUGAUCAUUGUCAUGGUGUUUUAUUUUCUGGGCAUGUAUAAUUUUGUAGUCAUGAUUAAUAUAUUAUUUUCUUAAUUAAUGUAUACAUUUCUUUGAAGGUCACUAGUCUGGUUAAAAAAGGUGCUCGGAAGAUCACUCUGAGUAUAGGUGAUGGUGCAAAUGAUGUGAGUAUGAUUCAAGCUGCUCAUGUUGGUGUGGGCAUAAGUGGACUUGAAGGAAUGCAAGCUGUAAUGGCCAGUGAUUUUGCAAUUGCUCAGUUUCGCUUCCUUACUGAUCUUCUCCUUGUGCAUGGUCGAUGGUCAUACCUCAGAUUGUGCAAGGUGGGAAUUUUUUGCGAAUUUCUUGUCCCCGAAAGUCUUUUGUUGUUGUCAAGAAAGUAACCUUCAGUUUCUCCAUUGCAGGUUAUCACCUAUUUUUUCUACAAAAAUCUUACCUUUACAUUGACUCAGUUUUGGUUUACUUUCCAAACUGGUUUUUCUGGUCAGAGAUUCUACGAUGAUUGGUUCCAGUCAUUGUAUAAUGUCAUUUUUACAGCACUACCAGUUAUCAUUGUUGGAUUGUUUGACAAGGUAUUCUUUGAGAUAGCAAUAAGUUCUGUUACCUUUUCUUUAAAUUAAUGCCAUGCAAGAUCUCGACAUCAAUUUGUGGAAUGCUAUUGGAAUGUUGUUGCUUUACUGGUAAUGUCUGGUUGUUUUUCCAGGAUGUCAGUGCUUCUUUGUCGAAAAAGUAUCCGGAGCUUUACAGAGAAGGAAUUAGAAAUAUGUUUUUCAAAUGGAGAGUCGUGGCAGUAUGGGCUUUCUUUGCUGUCUAUCAGUCAUUGAUUUUGUAUUACUUUACGACUGCUGCAAGUCAGGCUGGUCACAAUUCAUCCGGGAAGGUAUUUGGUCUUUGGGAUGUCAGCACAAUGGCCUUUACUUGUGUUGUGGUGACUGUCAACUUGCGCCUUCUUAUGGCAUGUAAUUCAGUUACACGGUGGCACCAUCUAAGUAUUUGGGGGAGCAUAUUAGCGUGGUUUGUGUUUAUAUUCAUAUACUCAGGAAUAAUGACCCCAUAUGACAGACAAGUAAGUUCCUUGAAUUUGUUCUGUUUGUUUACUCAGAUAUAUGUGCAUCUAAUUUUUGUGUUGUUCUUUCAGGAAAAUGUAUUCUUUGUUAUCUAUGUGUUGAUGAGCACUUUUUAUUUCUACUUCACACUUCUGCUCGUUCCUGUUGCUGCACUUCUUGGCGACUUCUUAUAUCAAGGGUAAGACUUCAAAUUACUGGCUAAUUCUUGAUAUAUUUGCUCAGGUAAUAUACUUCUGUAAGUCUCAAACUGAGAGAUCUGUUUGAGAUAGUGCAAUGAUGUCUAAAAUGAUAAACUUAAGAUCUAGACCUUGAAGAAAAACUGGAAUUCGUAGUUGCAAUUGACCUCAAAUCCUCCUGGUUGAACACUGCAUCCAAUGAAACCUGAAUAUAGUGCUUUGCUAAGUGCUUGUUAUGAUUUUCCACUUGGGCCUUCUCUUAUCUUAUGAUGGCGCUCAUAAGCACAUUACUACAUAAGAUUUAUGACUAUUCUUUUAGAAUCUUCUAAUUUUUCUCCUUGAAUGUGUUUUUCUAACUGUUUCCUCCUUUACUGUGCUCACUGUUUCCUCAUUUAUUGUGCUUUAACUGUUCAUGACUUGGUGCUCUGGCUGGGCUUUUCCCAACACAAUUUACAUAGGCUUAGGCCUGGCUUGGCCUGGCCUUCGGGCCUACUUUCCAAGCCCAAGUCUGAUCCUUGGGUUUUAGGUUGGGCCUUGAGCUUCCUAACCAAUUUUUUUUAUUUUUUAAAAAAAUGCUAAAAAAUAUUUAAAAAUAUUUAAAAAAUGAUGAAUAUGAAUAUAUUAAAUAUCACCAACAAUAUACAACAUGUCUAUUGUCACAUUAAGUUCAUAUAUCAACACUAGUUGUCAAUUAAGUAUACAAAGACAUUAACAUAAACAAACAAUCAAGAAAAACAAAGUUUGGGCUAGGCCAGGAUUGGGCUAGGCUUUUGUCCCCAAGCCCAAGCCCAGCCCAUUUAUUAAAUGGGCCCAUUUUCUAGGCCCAUCUUGGCCUUUCUGCCCUAAAAUCUUUGCUUGAGCCCACCAAAAAGGUUUCGAGCUUGGGCAAACUGGGCAGGCCAUCCGGCCCCUGAACAAGUCUACUUGUGUACUGUACAUUCUUAAUGCUUUUUUUGCUAGAUUGUGUGUUAAUCCUCUUUUCCAACUAGUAUUUUUCACAUUGUUAGGUGUAAACUUUUUCUAUAAUUAUCUCUUAUUGGGUAUACUGAACUCCUUAACUUGGUUAGCUGGAUGUUUUUGCCUUGGAUACAUAUAGAGAUUUUAACAUUAUAAUCCCUUCUAUUGCCAUUUUUGUGUGCCUCUUAAGCUCCCUGCUACUAGGGGUGUAAAUGAGCCUAAACCGAGUGAGCUAAGCUCCAUUUUAGCUUGUCUCGAAAUUAAAAAAAAAAUGUUCAGCUCAAGCAAGAGACGAGCUGAGAAACUAGAGCUUAAGCUCAGCUCAUUGAAGAUCAAAAAUUGGUUCAAGCCAAGAUCGAGCUCAAUUAACUCAUGUCAGACUCCCGUGGGAACCAGCAGUCCUGGUGUUCUUGGGAACGGGGUGGAGAGAGGAAAAGAGGGAGGGAAGAAGGGACAGGAAGCGGUUCAUGGUGGUGUCCAACAGUGGUGGGCUGGUGGUGUUGCAAGGGAUGGAGAGAAAGGGAGAGAAGAUUGACAGAGGAAGAAGGGGGCAUUGCUCAUGGGUGGCUGGCAGUGGUGCUAGUAGUGUUGGGAGGGGAGCAAAAGAGGGAGGGGAGUCGUUGUGUUGGGAAGGGAGAGAGAGAGGGAUUGAUGGAGUAAGUGUUAAAAGUUGAGGCAAAUUUCCUUAUUUGUAAUUAGAAUUUUGACAAGGCUCCAGAUAGGACUAGGAUUAAUAAACACAGAUGCUUUCCAAGUUCCAAUGCAAUUGUCCGCUGGUGUGGAAGAAAACAAUCCCACUCAAAGGAGGGCAAGCAUCCAUCAAGAUAGAAGAGAUUUAGAUGAAAGAGAAAACUACCAUAGUUCAGGAUCAACCCAUGAUGCUUAGAAGGAAUGAAUUUACGAAGAGUGGAUGGUCGGAAUGAAGUUGUAAAAGAUGAGGGAGUUCCUGAAGAUGGACCAAUAUGGUUUGCACCAUAUAAGGUGAAGUGCUUAUGUGCAAAUCAUUCUUCCUCAUUGAUGCGCAAGCGCACAAACCCACUGCACUCAGAAAUCUGCACUUAGCUGAAAAAAGGUUUUGAGCUUUAGUCUUGUUUUGGUGAACCAGGGGUUGCCAUUGAGGUGACUUUACUAAAGUUGUUCAUGAAUUGCAGUCGUGAAGCUAGAUGUUAUUGGCUUGCUUGGGAUGUAAAGAGAGGGAGAUAGAGAGGUGUAAACAGAAGAGACAUACCUAUACAUAAGCUUGGCAAGAUUGGAUUGAGUAUUAGGCCUCUAGGAAGCUAAUAGUAGAUUGAUCAUUCGGAAGUACACUGUUAUGUGUCGGUUGAGAAAGGAGUAAAGGUAAAUUUACAGAGACAAGACAGUAAUAACAAAACUCUUUCUUAUAUUAUUAUCAUUUCAUUAAAAAAUUGAAAACGACAAUUGCUAAUCAUUUACUAAAUUGUUCAUACCAACAUUUCUGUUAGAUGUUCAAAAGAUAUGAACUGCUUAUGUGGCCACAUAUGCAUGCUACAUACUGCAUAUGUACUAUACGAUGGUAUGCAGUAUCGUACCAAACCAAAUGGUAUAGGAUGCAUUACCGUACCGGCCUCGUACUAUACCAUACCAAUACAGUGAUAACAUGGCACCAGUAUGGGGCUCUGUAUCGAGACGGCAUAUCUUUUCUAUACAAUGAUUUAACUACACACAUACCACUUCCACUUUUUAACAUGUUGGUCUACUUUCAAUUAAGAUUAGAUGAAAUUGGGUUAAAUCUCUGAAACUAGACUGAAAUCCACCAGUUUUUGUUGAACCUAGGUUUCCAUAUCAUUCUUGAGUGAAACUGGGUUUCACUGGUUAGCUUUGGGUUGGUUUCCCCAAAAGUUCAAAUAUUUGGGCUCAAGAAGCAGGAUAUUGUCUAGGAAUUUAUUUGAACAUGGCUAAGGAGAAAUACGUGUACAACUUAGAAAUCGUAUAACUGAAAGUCUGAAACUAUUCUUUAGUACUUUGCUUGCUUGUGGCAUAAGAGAAAUUAGGAUAGAUGGUGAAGUUCAAGAAAAAAGAGAGAGGAUGUGGUUCUUCAUAGUAAUUUCUUACUCUCUUUCCUUUUCAUCAGCUUGUUUCUCUUGACUUUAGCUUUUUUCUCUUCAAGAAGGAUUCCUUUAUAAUAUUGGUUAUCAUCGACCUUGUUCUGUGGGACCCAGCAUCAUCUACUGUACUGACCAGUUGAUAUUGUUGCUGUUGAAAUCAGAGUUACAGUUUUAUGUCCUAUAUUACUACAUUAUAACUAUUUCCAUCGCACCAUUUCUUUGUGGCAUACACCAAAUUCUCUGCUUCAUAAGCUAAAUUCAAUGGAGUAUUGCAGUCAUACUGAACUAAUUAAGCACCUCCUGGUUCCAGGUUUCAGAGAUGGUUUUACCCCUAUGAUUAUGAAAUUGUUCAGGAGAUUCACAAGAAUGACCCUGAAGAUAGCAGCAGGAUUGAGUUGCUGGAGGUUGCCAAUCAUCUAACACCAGAUGAAGCUAGGAGCUAUGCGAUUUCCCAGCUUCCCCGGGAAAAAUCCAAGCACACUGGUUUUGCUUUUGAUUCACCAGGUUAUGAGUCAUUUUUCGCAUCACAGCAAGGUGUUUUUGCACCACAAAAGGCUUGGGAUGUAGCCCGUAGAGCCAGUAUGAGAUCGCAGCAAAGAAAACCGAGAAGCUGAUUUAUUUUUUAUCUAUGUACAUUUUUGUCAUUGACCUCACGAGCUGAUAUAUAUGUAGUUGUACCAUAAUUCUUGCCUUUUGUUUUUCUUUUGUUUUUUGUUCUUUUUGUAUUUUUACACUUGUUAGAUGUUUUUUUUCUGGUAGUGCACUUGUUAGAUGUUUAUUCGUUUCCUUGGUUACACAUAUAAGCUCAAGGAAAAUGCAACUGCAGAGGGUCUCUUUCUGGAAAUUCUCAAUGCCAUUUCUGGUGAUUGUACCCUUAUUUCUUUUUUUCAUUUCCUGUGUUUCUGCCUUCAACCGUUCUAUACCAUCUUUGUGCAUUUACUACAUUCACACUGACAAUUAAGUUAUAACAGGUAAUAAAAAUGCAUGUUUGGACUUUAAAAUGGAUGAUUCACAUUCAUGAUGUCCUUGAACAGUUUCAUGUACAAAUUGGAAAGUUAUACAUCGAGCUAACUAAAUGACGUGCAAUGCAUCUAUGCUAGCCUGAUAAAAUCUUACAAGUUCCCGUUUGCUGGUAAGCCUUGCUAUUAGCUAAAAACGAAGUGGAUUUGAGUUCAUUCACCCUGCAACUGAUAUAGGUGUUGAGCGUGCAAUGAUAUCGACUCCUUGGACGGUAGCUGGUCAUAGUAAAAUGUGUGAUGCCUAAGUAAAUAGUUCUUUCAAGACUCAUCAUUUUACUGGGCUAAAGAGGAUCUUAAAAUCAUAGCCAAUCAGUACAAAGCUUGUGAGCAUUAUGCAAAGAAUUACCGUACAGCGGUAAAAAGAUCCUCAAUCUCACUCGGAGUGAGUUUGUUAUGUUAUAGCACUCACAAGGCACAUUUUGAUUUGAUUUGACCACUUCCGCUUGAUUGCACCACCCCAUAAUGUCACGCAGAAAACUGAUGCUGCCACCGAGCAGGGAGUCAGAAAUAGGGAGAUCAUAUGAGCAGGAUCCAGUUUUUGCACUUCAAAUCCUAGAUCAAGAAAGUAUAUCACUGUGGUGCACCCAAAAACCAUCAAGGCGCAGAGACCAAAGGGUUUUAGAGAAGGAUGAUUUGGUCAUCUACAUGGAUAGAUCCCAUAUUUCUAAUCUAUGCAUUAUUUUAAAAAUAGUUAACAUGAUAUCAUAUGGUUUGUGUCCUUUCCACCUUUUUUUGAUACAAUCUUUUCCUUACCUUUUUGUUUUCCUUCCUGACCUUAAGUGCUGUCUUGCCCUUGGUUGUUGCUUCCCUAACCUUCUGUAACUUGGUUCUUUUGCAUCUGUUCCUUCCUGGACCCUUACAAGUCGUUGAGUUGUGCCCCCACUCUUAGGAAUUACAACAUAAGAGUGAAAUUACCUGUUUUGGCCUACAAGGAUGUGCCCUUAGGAAAGGGAUAGCAAUAGGUUCAUACGGAGUUUAGAGCUAUGAUUGCAUAUCGAGGGCUGGUUGAAUAAUGGUCUCUUAUGCCCUUAUGUAUGUUUUCCUAAAAUACCAUUCACUAACAUAACCCUCAGCAUCCUUUCUCAUGAACAUUUUGGCUGCCAUAGAUGAUGGCAUGGGAUGUUAGAAAUAUACUAUUUUCUGCAUCCAUAGACCCUUUCUCCCAAUUUCACCAUAAAACUUUCAUUUUCAUAGUCAAUUUCAAACCUCUCCCUCCUAAAGGACAAUGGCAGUGCAUUGCUCCUAUCUCGACUUUCUCUAACUUCUUUAGAAUUUUUAGACAAAUGCAGCUUUCAAAUUUGCUAACGCCCUCUGUUUGCUUGAAAUCUAUCCACCAGCAAUCUUCUUAUUAUCUUCAACAUGAUGAUACUCUGCUUAUCUUUUGUAUCAAUAAUAUUCUUGUUGAAGGAUUCACAAAUAUUAUUUAGCAUGGCUAACCUGGGUUUGGGGAUAAAUGCAUGUCCUUACCAUUGCUCCACAUGUUGUUUUCUCAGCCACUGGCAAGCUCUCUCAUCCAAAUUCUCCAUCUCCUUCAUGGUUUUUUCAAAGUCAUACUUGCUUUAGCAUAGUUCCACAAGGCAGUCUUGAAAUCUCUUGUACCCUUCUUUUAAGAAAUUUACACAUAUGUACCCUAGAAUCUAUGAUCUGAAAUUGGAAGUGUUGCUGGAAAUUGGACCCGGGGGCGAUCGUCCGUCGAGGAGGGGGAGCUGUCGGCGGACGCGAGGGAGUCAUGAUGCGUCGGCGGGCGGCGUCCUCUGUCGGGGUGCCUGCAGAAAAGCCGGUGGCCGGGGCUUCCGGCGCCGGCCCUCCGAUGCUUAAGUUAGAGGAGGCAAAAUAGUGUUUAAAGAAAAUGGGAGCAGUCGUCUUUUUUUUCUNNNNNNNNNNNNNNNNNNNNAAAACCGUAUUUCCCCAACAGGAAGCAAGAAUUGGAAAGUCUCCACAAGACCCUGCAUAUGAGACAACAAAAGUUAGUUCGGAAGAGUUAUUUAUCAAAUAGCUAAUAGGUGCAUAUCUAAUAGUAUUAAAGUAUUGAUACCUACCUUUUGUCUGUUAGACAUGAAUAUCCACCUAUGCUCUUCCUCAGACCAAAUAUCAGCAAGAAGAUGAGUUAGAAACUAGAGCAAAUUAACUCUCUUUGGUCUCUACCUUAACAACCUACUAUUCAAUAGGGUAUAGGUUGUCGUUGCCAUCUUUUCUAAAUACUACUAGCAAUUGGCCUGAAAAACAUCCUUUUUGAUGGCAGCCAUAGACUAAUCAAAGGUCUACAUCCUUGUACAAAAUCCUUUUUACAGGCAUCAAGACAAACAUACAACCUCUUGAAUAUAGGCCUUCUAUUUUCACCAGACCUUUGCACAUCCAACAACACUAUAUUGCCAAUCACCUCACACUAUUCCCACAGAUGCCCAAACAGCUCCUUAUGGCUUUCCUGUAUAAUCUAAAUCGCAUUUCUCUUUGUUUUGUAGCAUUGUGUCUUAGAUACAAACAACUUCACAUCCCCCUAACAUUCUCCUUAAAUCCUUUCAAACUUCAUUUGUUAUCAGACCUAAUAUCCUCUAUCUCUCAGCUAGACUCGUAGAGUAAAACUUUAUAUUUGUAAAACCACCUUUCAUAAUUGUGCAUAUGAUGAAAGGUUUUAAUCUAGAAAAUAUCUUCCCUUUGCAUUGGAGAUGCAUGUAUUCUCCAUCUCUAUUCCUUCUUGCAAAUUGUUGUGACCCUCCAUUUAUCAUUAUUCUUAUAUUGAAAUCAAAUUCCUCUUGAAUGGAGUACAACCUAUAGGCUUUCUCAAGUACCUUAUGAUUAUUGAGUUUCAUUCCAAAAUGGAGCUUGAUAGGUUUCUUAAAGUCAGAUCACUCAUUGAAUUUGGGAAAUCUUAAAGUCUAUUCCAAAAUGGAGCUUGAUAGGCUUCUCAGAUCACUAUCAUUGUCAUCAUUAGACUGUGGUUCCUUUUCUUCACUGCAAGCAUACACCAGUACAUCAUCUACAACAUUAAGCUUAGACUAUUUAAUAUACUUCCUCAAGUUUAUCGACAAUCUUCUCAAACAAGUCACCAUCUAGUUCAUUAUUAGACUUUCUUAGUUUGCUAAGAGCAACUAAGUCAGUAUCACUCGAAUUAUUGUCACUGCGACCUGCUCCAUUCUCCUCAUCUUCAUGUUCAAUAGGUGCCUUCCCAUUGUCUUCUACCACUACCACCUCUAUAGUUUCUUCCCCUACCUUCGCCUAGCGAUCUUCAUAUCACCCAUAUUGGCAGCCUCGUUGGUUACUUCAACUGACCCACCCUUCUGUCUUGCAUUCAUCGGCACUUGUUUUAACAAGAUCAUGAACCUUCUCUUCACACCAUUGUUCCUGGCACAACCAAGCCCCCUUUUUUAUGUGGCUAGACCUAUUCAUGGGCUGGGUCGAGACCGAGCUUAGGAUGCACUUUGCCUAAAGGUCAACACUAUAUUCUUAGGUCCAAGCCUAGCAUUCGGACCUACGUUCCAAGCCCAAUCUCAGCCAUCACUCAAGCUUUAGGCUUGGAGCGAGCCUUUGGCUUCAUGAUCAGAUCAUAUUUUAAAAACAUGCUAAAAAAAUACUCAAAGUAAUAAUUCAUAAAAAUUAAUGUAAUCAAGAUCUUAUAUAACUAAUUCUUACAAUCAAUUGUUUCAAAGUGACAUAAGUCAGCAUAUGCUUAAUUAUUUAUUUAAAUCAAAUAAAAUAUUUUAACUAGUCUAAAUAGUCUAACUAGAACUCUAAAAAAAAAAAAUAUCUUCAGAAGAUCUAGCGCACUCCUCAAGUCCUGAGCAAUCAUGAUCUAGAUUCAAAAAAUAGAGAAAGAAAAGAUAAUGAGCUACACUAGCGCAGCAAGCAACAUAAUGCCUCAAAUAAGGUCUAAACAUGUCAAAUAAAUAAUUUAUUAAAGAGCAAAAUAUUUACUAAAAAUAAAUUAAUUUUUAAAUAAUAUAUAUAUCUUUUUUGAAGUUUACUAUUAUUUUCAUGAAUUGAUACUAGAAACCCAAUAUCAGGCUAUGGCCACGUAACCCAGUGGUAUAGUCAGAUUGCACAAAGUACCAAAUACCACUAUUUUUAACUACCGGUGGUUCGAUGUCCAAAUACUGUUAUUCUAAUCACCGGUGAUUCAGUGUCAAAACUAGUUUCUCAAAUUAUAAGUAGACAGGGCCAACAAGUAAUCUCCAUUAGCGGGGCCAGAUCAAAACCGUGUUGAGAAUACAUACAUAUGAAACAAAUUUCAUAAUUUAUCCAAUCAUAGUUUUCAAAUUUUAUAACAUAACAUAUAACAUAUUUUAAAAUAAUUACUAUCAUACUCAAAUUUAAUUAUUAUUUUAUCAAAAAUUUAGAAAAUAUACUUUGAAGCAUUAGAUUACUUACCUUUUCUUGCUUUAAAAGUCCACUUCAGUUAGACGGGCCACGUUCAUCUGUUUUAAUAUAAUUAAAAUAUAAUUAAUUUCAUCAUCUUAGAAGCCAAACAAAGUCAAAACUUAAAAUAUUAUUGGGGAUACGAUCUUAUGCCCCUAAAUUUGAUUGGUUAAGUGGCAAUGCCUUACUGCUUGGGUCGGUUCGAGCAAGGUGAACUCAACUGGUCAGGUUAAGACAUGAUUUAUGGCCUAGGUAAUGGGUCGAUCUACCGCCUAGAUACCGGGGCGGUUCAGGACCUCCACACUAGGUUAACUUGGAUCCGCGAAAAAAGAAAAACAAGGCUUACACUAAGAUUCCUAAGCCUACCUAGAUAGAGAAAGAGGUAGAAGAGAGAUAACUUCAGUCUGGGUUAAAUCAAGGGUUUGGUCUGGUCUUGGUUGUCAAUGGCAUGAAUCAUUCCUGUCUCUAAUCUACAGGACAAACCAGAGAAGUCAAUCAUUUUUUUAAAUAAAUAAAUAAAUAAAUCAGAAUAAAAUGGAAAGAAAAAGAAGAAAUAAGAAGAAGAAUAAAAGGGGAGAAAGAGAGGGAAGAGUAGAGGAAAGAGAAAAGAGGAAAGAGGAAAGAGGAAAGAGGCUGGGGUACUGCCGGAGGUCUAGCAGCACGGCCCCAGAGAGCCGGCGGCGGCGGCAACUAUGGCGGCAGCCGGUGGAGGUGGCAAGACCGAGAAGGUCUCAGUUUGGCACAAAAGCAAGAGAAUGGCAGCUCAAAUUAGGUUCACUCGCAUUGUAAUCACAUGAAGGGGGUGAGGGAGUUACCAAGGGCGGUGGUGGCAAUGGAGCUUGGCCGGAGAUGGUGGUCUUCGAUGAGCUUUGCUGUGGCAAGGCUCGGAAUAGGGAAAAUAGGACAACAAAAGGCUUCUAGAGAGAGAAGAUGGGAGUUUGGCAGCAAUGCUCGGUUGAGGUGCUGCGGUGGCCACUGGAGAAGAAAUAAAAAGAGGGAGGAGAGUUUUUGAGGUAGAUCUAGCCGAGGGGACUCAAAAAUUUCUAGAAAUUUUGGGAGAAGUGAUAAGCUCGAAUCAAGCGACCUUCGCUAGUUGCAGCGGCCCCCAACGGCCACCGGUUGUUCGCACCGACUUGGCAAAUCCUCAACGGCCACAACUAAGGUGGCCUUAUCCCAACCGCCUGAGGAUUGGGCAAAAGAGAAACGCAACAUCCUUUUGUGUUUCGAUCCCCUUUUUUUGCGGUUUUCUGAUUGAAGUCAGUGGGCAUUGUCGACUUCAAUCUGGGAUGGGCCCAAUUGGGCCAAUUCUCCCAUGCAAUGCACUGAUUCAAACGUAGAAAUUGUCCUUUCAAUGAUGAUGUGUGCCCCUCAUUGAUCUACAUCAUCAUUAAUUUUUUUGUCUAGAAUUGAUCUAGACCUCUAAAAAUCUAGUAGAACAAGCCCAAGCCAUCUAAAUUACUAUCUAGGUUUGAUAUAAAAUGCAUCCAACCCAGUUCAUUAGCCCGAUCCAACUUGUUAUAGUUAAAAUCUCGUUCUCCAACCCAAAAACAAAAAAAGGAGGAAAUAACUUUAUGAAUAGUCGCUAUAACUUUUUGAAUCAAGUUAAAUUUGGUCAUCCAUAAAACCAUGUUCAUUAGGGGACCGGGUUGUAUCUUUUGCACGUGAAAGAAUGAUUAACCUUCCUUCAAGUGAAAUCAUCAUUGGAUCACAUGCUACAUAAAUCUCAAAGCACUCUGAAGUCUAAUAUCUUCCAUCGGCAUAGAUCUCAAGGCAGGCAGCUGAUGAUCCAACGGUGGUUUUGCACGGAGAAAGGUUAAUCAUUCUUUUUUGUGAAAGAUACAUGCUUGUCCCGUUCAUUAGGUUUACCCCUUCUCUCCAAACUCCUAUUAGAAACAGAGGUUAAUUGCCUUACAAUUAUCAGGAUUUCAAUUCUCCUCUCUAAUGUCAAAUAGGAGUUUUGGUACCAGACCAUUGGUCCAUUCCCUCUUAUAUCUCUAGCCUUCCUUUGUUCUUGUCCUUAGCUCUCUCUCUCUCUCUCUCUCCAAAUUUGUUACUUCUGUGAUGACCGAGUGCCACUUUUCAACCAGAUCCUACUUGGACUGGUAGCAACUCGGGAUGAUAUAUCAAUACAUUUAGCAAUUCUCUAUGGUCAUGCUAUCCAUAGCAACAACAAGAAAGAGCAUGGCUAUAUCACCUUCAAGUCCUUAACUAUUCAUUCUCAUCUAUUAUGUAUCCAUCACAAAGUAAGGUAAUACGCAAAAACAAACAAAUAAAAGAUGUUUUGUGGACCUCGAGCAUCAUGUUUGUACUUCAAAUAUAUGUGUAGGAAUAUAGUGCUAUUUUUUUUCAAUUGAAUGGAUUUGAAUGCUUUAUAGCAUAUGUGAAGCUUCAACUUUAUUACAUAGAGUUUCAAUUUUCUGCAGACAAAUGAGGAUGUUAUGGUGAUGCUAAUAUAAUUCAACAGUUGUAGGUUUCCAUGUGAUUUUUGAUAAGUUUUGGGCACAUUCAAGUGCAAAAUAAUUGAUAGAUGUGAUUGUAUCUGAGGAAGCACUGACAAAUAUAUGAUCCAAGACACUAUUAAUCCUUGAAUUGUUAUGCUAAAAAUUUGACAUAGAAAAAAAUGUGUCUGAUCUUGAAACAAAAUAUUUUAAAUCUCAAUAUAUCAUCAGUUGUCUCAGAGGGGGCUGACACCAAGACAAAUGAACGCUAAAAAAGAAAUAAUAUUUUUUAGUACUAUUUAGAGUCCUGACCGAUGCUUAUAAGCGUCGGUACAUUUCGGGCCGAUGCUUUCAAAAGCGUCGUGAAAGCAUCGAGCAAGUGGGGGUGGGAUUUUUUCUUUCCGACGUUUUUUGAAAGCGUCGGCAUUACCUAACUCUAUGCCGACGCUCAAAAGCCGACGCUUUUGAGCGUCGCGUCGUUUGGAGCUAACUGACGCUUAAAAACAUCGGGCAAUAUAGGCCCAUGCUUCCAUGGGUCGGCUUGCGUUGGACUUUGCCGACGCUUAUUAGUCGCGUCGGCCCAAGCUAGGGCCUUCGCCGACGUUUUAAAGCAUCAGUAAAGACAUGCCGUGCUGUGCCAGUUUGCUUAAUGCCGAUGCUUUAACGCAUCAGCAAAGGCCAGCCGUGCCAUGCCGAGUUGGUUAUUGCCGACGCUUCCGAGUUGGUUAUUGUCGACGCUUUUAAGCGUCGGCAAUAAUGAUUUUUUUUUUAAAUUAAAGAAGGAACAAAACCCACAAACACA
Molecule: long non-coding RNA, 62416 nt
Filed under: Phoenix dactylifera (date palm)
Lineage: Eukaryota; Viridiplantae; Streptophyta; Magnoliopsida; Arecales; Arecaceae
Description: long non-coding RNA (PDAC_LNC004150)
Source: RNAcentral